RNAcentral lists this long non-coding RNA (51976 nucleotides) under Capsicum annuum. Lineage: Eukaryota; Viridiplantae; Streptophyta; Magnoliopsida; Solanales; Solanaceae. The record is from RNAcentral.
CCAAUCUCAGGUGAAAGUCCUCGUUCUCUCUCUAUAUAUAGCGAUAUUUUCAUAUUUUUCCUCUCGAGGUUUUAUUUGAAUUUUUUUCAUCUGAAAUAUCAGAAAGAAAUCUAGUUUGAAUCUAAUCUCAGUUGAAAGUCCUAGUUCUCUCUAUAUAUAGCUAUAUUUUCAUGUUUUUCCUCUCGAGAUCCUAUUUGGAUUCUUUUCAUUUGUUAUCUCAGAAAAAGCCUUACUUCGAAUCCUGCUUUGAUAAAAUCUUGAAUAAGGAAAAAUCUUUUUUCUUAUUGAACGGUCGUUUUAAAGAAACUCUUAAAUCUGAAUUCUCGAGCUAUAUAUAUUAGUAUUAGGUUUGAGCUCUUAAUUAAUUUUUUCUUUUUAAAUAUUCUUUUUUUUUUCGUAUCUUUGAUAUGUAUAUUGAAACUCCAGUGAAUCUAAUUGGAUUCACAUUACAUAAGGUCAUUAAAGGAGAAAUUAUUUUUUACUAGGAUUUUUUCUCAUUCCAACCCAAUAUAUGGAGUUGAUGGUAAUAUUUUUUUUUUUUUUCAAAGUUUUAAUGGUUGGUCAAAACUUUUGGUAGAACAUCUUUUUUAAGAAAAUAAAUUUAAAGGAGAAUAAUAAAUUAAAAUGAUCUUUUUGGUGAAAAUAGAGAGAUUUGUAAGUAAUAUUUUAUAUUGAUUGUCUAUGUUAUUCUAAUCGUUUGCUACUUAUCAAACAUCAAUAAAUAAAUAAGAACGUUAUUUAUUUUUGAGGAAAAUAUUUUUCAUGAUUUUUUUUUUUCUUCUUAUCAAAUGCAUGCAUCCUAGAUGUUUUUAAAUUAUUAUAUUGUGGGGUUAUAUCUAAGGUUACUUGAUUAAUCCAAUUUGUUAUCUAAUUAAGAAGUACUUAUUGUUCUUGUUAAUUAUAGUGUAAUUAAAGUCCAAUUGGAUUAAAAGUGCUCAAAAUAGAAAUCUAACGGGGUGAAAAUGGAAGAAGCGAUGUUGGUGAGGUUCAAUCCGAAGACGGUUUUACGAUUUGUUAUUCGUAAAUAUCGAUCUCAGAUUGAGCCGCGCCAAUAUCACUUUCUAUAAUUUUAUUUAGAUUUCUUUACUCGAUAUUUGAUACUUGUAUUUUAUAUCAGUGGUUAUUGUAAUAACUUUUUUUUUUGUUAUCUAAAUGUAAUUAAUCCAUUUUUUUGGGUUGAUAAGGGAAUAUGCAGUCGCUAUUCUUCGCAUGCAUAUAAGGUAAGCAUCUCGUCUAAUGUAAUAGCCUUCAAAUUAAAUAGAAAGAAACGUAAAACGUACAAGACAAGUCUCGUACAACGAGCUCGAUCUAAAAAACAUGUGACGAGUUUCAAAUCGAAUUAUUCAAUCAAUUCGACCACCCUCACGAAGGUAAUCCCACUUUAACUAACGAUCCUUCACAUUAGACAUUCUAAAUCCACCUCUUUUUUUUUUUUUUUUUUAACAAGGGAAUAUGAUUUCGCUAUUUUUCGCAUGCGGGUAAUGUAAAACCCUUGCUUUAGUGUAAUAGUCUACAAAUUAAAUAUGAGCGCAAAUUGUAUAAAUUAGACAUGACCGUGUAACGAGUUCGAUCUAGAAAAUAUGUAGAGAGUUCUAAACACGAGACCUCCAUUUGCGAGAUAAUUUGUUCAAUCAAUUUGAUUAUCCUUACAUCUUUUCUACGUCUCACACUCUAUCGAACCAUCACAUCAACAAGAAUAAAUCCACAGAAGUUUUUUUAAAAAAAGAAUUCAAUAAAAGAUCAAACUCAUCUCGCGGUUUAUCGUUACAAUAGGUGUUACCCAUGGCACCCAAGGGUUUGGCCUAGUGAAUAGUGAUCAAUAAAGUGUGUCGAGAAUGUAAGAGGUCUCAGGUUCAAAUUCCAGCGGAGACAAAAACACACUAGUUGAUUCUUCUUGUUUAUCCCAGCCUUGGUGGACAAAGUUAUCUGAUAUCUAUUGUUGGUGGGAGAUGACACGUAUCCCGUGAAUUUAGUCGAGGUACAUGAAAGCUGGUCUAGACACACAGGUGGGAGGUGGCAAGUAUCCCGUGAAUUUAGUUGAUGUGCACGAAAAUUGAUCCAGACACACUGGUGGAAGGUAGCAGGUAUCCCAUAAAUUUAAUCGAGGUUCACGAAAGCUAGCCCAGACACGCUGGUGGGAGGUGACAAGUAUCUCAUGGAUCGCUGGUGGAAGGUGAUAAGUAUCUCGUGGAUUUAGUCGAGGUGGACAAAAGGUCGUCCAAACACGUUGGCGAGACGCGACAGGUAUUUCGUGAAUUUAAUCGACAUGCACGAAAAGUAGGUGACAAGUAUCCCGUGGAUUUAGUUGAGGUGCACGAAAGCUCGUCCAAACACGCUGGUGCGACGUGACAAGUAUUUCGUGAAUUUAAUCGAGGUGUACAGAAAUUGAUCCAGAUACCACAAUCAUAAAAAAAAAAAAAAGAAGUUCCACACGUGUCAUUCCUUAUUACUAGUUCAAGCAUAUUCAAUCUCCAUUCCCCUCUCUCUCUCUCGUGACGAGAGAGAAUAAAGAGAAAAUAAAUUCAUUUUUUUUUAAUUUACAAUUUUUUUUCUAAAAUAAUUACUAUAUAUGUAAUUUCUAUAUUUAGAAUUAUCAAAUUAAUUAUUUAAUUUAAAUUAUAAAUGUGCAUGAUCGGAAUAGUGAUCGGAGAAAUCUGAUAAUCGGAAUUAUUGUUUGAUAUUCCGGCACAACAUGUCUGCUAUAGUGUGCGGAAAGAGAUCGAUUUUAUUUGACGAUUUUCAAUCUCAGUCGCCGUCGCCGUCGUUGCCGCCGGUGAAUAAGAGGAUUCGCCUUAGUUUUUCUCCGGCGACGUCUAAUUUUGAUAAUUCGAUUGCAUCGUUGAAGCUUGAUCAUUUACUCAUGGUUUUCUCUGAUAUGGAUAAGCAGGUUGUUUAUUAUUAUUAUUAUUAGUAGUAGUAUUAUUAAUAUUAUUAUUGUUGUUGUUUUGCUUUUAAUUGUGUUGAGUUUAGUUGUAAAGAAAAAAAUUAGAGCUUUUUGUGUGUGAGUUUCCUUAAUUAUCAGUAAUUAUUUAUUAAAACACACCUAAAGUAUUUAGCUUUUUUGAGUUUCAUACUUGAAUUCUAUUUGGUGUGUGAGUUUCCUAGUUGAACUGUCGCCAAUUAUUUAUUAAAACACAUUUAAACUAUUAAUUGUUUGAGUUUCGUAGCUGAAUAUUCAGGUAGGAAGAAUAAACAAUUAACAGUUUAGGUAUAAUUCGAUAAAUGAAGGGGAGCCUUGGAGUAACUGGUAAAGUUGAUGUCAUGUGACCAGGAGGUCAUGGGUUCAAGCCUUGGAAAUAGCCUCUUGCAGAAAUGUAAGGUAAGACUGCGUAUAAUACACCAUUGUGGUGGGCCCUUCCCCGGACACCGCGUAUAGCGGUAGGUUUAGUGCACCGGGAUGCCCUUUUCUAGGUGUAUUUCGAUUAUUCGUUGGUGAUAGUUCAGGUAGGAAACUCAACACACCUAAUAGUUCAGAUAUGAAACUAAAAAGAGCUGAACACUUUAGGUGUGUGUUACUUGAACCGAAUGUUUAUUGGAAACAAUGUAUGUGUACGCACUACCAUCGCCGCACUCUACUUGUGGGAUUACAUUGUGUUUUUUUGUUUGUUGUUGUUGUAGUGUAUCUAUUUUUUUGAUUUUGAUAUGGCAAGAGUAAAGCACUUGAGAAGGUUUGCCCAUUGUUAGCCGUUCCAGACGACUUUUUUAGUAAUUUAACAUCAUCUCAUUGUAAAGAUCCUUCAUUUCUGAUUGUACUAGACAAGCAAUGUUUUCAAAAAGUACUGAACUUGUGAGUUAUCCAGUGGAAUCAGUCAAGGGUAUGUUCAAGUUGGCCCAUAUAGCAUGAUUAUUUAAAAGAAAAAAAAGAGAAGCGAGUAUUGAACUUGACUUUAUAAAAAAAAAUGAAAAGUAGUAUUGGAGAAGCUCCAUUGACAACAAAUGCUUGUUGCCUCCUUCAUUUAGUUAUUUGGGAUGUGGGGAAGUACCUUUUGAGUGAUUUGGUGAGUUUAUUAAUGUCUUUCUUAUGACUAAUUGUACUAGGCAAGCUGUAUUUUCAAAAAAGUAUUGAACUUGUGAGUAUUUUUUAUGAGUGGUUGUACUAGACAAGCAAUGUGUUCAAAAAAGUAUUGAACUUGUGAGGUAUUGCGUACUUGUGUUGAUAUUGGGAGGUAGCAGGUCCCAGUGGAAUCAAUCGAGGUGCGUGCAAGCUGGCGAGAUUACACGAUUGUAAAAAAAGAAGCAAGUAUUGGCCUUGUCUUUAUAAAAAAAAAACUAGUAGUUUUGGAGGGGCUCCGUGACAAGAAAUGCUUACUGCCUCCUUCAUUUAGUUAUUUUGGGACGUGGUGAAGGACCUUUUGAUUGAUUCAGUUAGUUCAUUAAUGUAUAUCUUAUGAUGUUGUAAGUGGGAAUUGGCGGAAUGUGGUUUUAAUUAAUGACUUAACUUAUGCUAAUUUCCGUCAUACCUUUUGCUUAAACAAGAUGAGGUGUGUAACUAAAGGGGUAACUUCUAUGUACUUCUUGUUGAUGAUUAAUGUGGUUUUGUAAUUGAAUUCACUGUACGAAGAUUUUCCUUUUAUUAGCUGUUUGAAGUGCUAUUUUAUGAUUCAUCUUAUGCUUUUGUUGUUGAACUUGUUGCUAACUUCUCAUUGCAAACAACCGGCAUAACUGAUUUAGAGAUCGUCUUCCGUCUGCUGCUUAUAGUUUUUAGUUAGACUCUGGAGAUCUUUCACUUUACACUGUAGGAACUUAGUGCUUGCAUAAUUGAUUCGUUUGCGAGUUUAACAUAUUCUCCUAGACUUUGAAAAUGGGCUGAGAAGUUGAUUGAUCAACUGUGCUUUCUCCACAAAUCUCCUUCAAUAGAGGAAGAGUUAACUAGCUUUCAGUUAGAUUUUCAGUAUGUGAAUUGAAUCCCUUUUGUCUGAUAUCUUGUGUUGUUUCAACACAUUAUAUAUGCUAUAACUUUGAAUUUACAAAUCUAAAUGAGUAAAUGAAAAGGGAAGACAGACUCUGCAAAUACUUUAACAAUUUUGAAGCAGUGAAGUAUAUCGAGUCUCCUGUAAACAAGUAAUGUUAUUAGUACUCUCUUACUACUUUAUUGUUCGAUUUUAUUUUUAUUACAUGUUUUUCUCUGCUUCGAUUCUACCUCUAUAAUGUAGGAGGUAAGGUCUGCGUAUACCUUAUCCUCUCCAGACCCCUUGUGGUGUUACACUGGGUAUGUUGUUGCUGUUUACUCUGCAUCGGUUAUCAUACUACUUCUUGUUGCUACUGAUUAUUUUGAUCUUGAAAUUGUUCUUUGUUUGAGGUACUUAAAAUUGAUAACUAAAAAAUAUUUUAAUUUUUAAUUAUGUGUGCUAAUAGUUUCAAUCACAUAUGGUGAUGUAUUAUAGAUUAAGGAUUUUUGUUGGAAAUAAAAGAUUAUACAAUCUAAAACCACUUAUAUAUUUUAGGUUAUACACUGGAUAUCCAUUUUUCAAUACGAUUAACGAAACAUCGAUAAAGCCACAUCUGAUAACUAUAAAAGCAAUCCAGUGAUUGUUAUUUGCUUGAUGAGUCAAAUGACUCAAGUGUAGAAAGCAAUAUUCCUGAGAGUUGGUUGUGAGAGACUUUAGUGCAUGUUGUAGAGUAAUUUCUUUUGUUAAUAUCUGCUCCUAUGUUUCCUUAGUUAUUAAGGAAAAUAAUUUUAUUAAUCCAUUCAGUAUUUGAUAUUAAGCAAAGUUGGAGAAGAAAAACUUCUUAAAAGAGGAGGGAAUGAUUGCAAAAGUUGAUUUGAAUUACAACACAACUUUUGAACAUCAGCAGUCGCGAAGUAGUUAUGUUCUUUUUCUUUGUUAUUGUUGUCGUCAUUGUCAUUAUUUCUUUUUGUUUUUCUUUUCAAUCACUCAAUUGAAGGGGAGCUUGGAGUAACUGUAAAGUUUCUGCCAUGUGACCAAGAGGUCACGGGUUCAAGCCUUCGAAACAGCCUCUGGCAGAAAUGCAAGGUAAGACUGCGUAGAAUAGACCCUUGUGGUUGGGCCCUUCCCCCGACCCUGCGCAUAGAAGGAGCUUUACUGCACUGGGUUGCUCUUUUUUUUCCAAUCAAUCAACUAUACUUUAGUUCAAAAUUAGUCGGAGUCAGUUAUAUGAAUCUUUUGUAUUCAUUCUCUAUGGUCUAUUUCAUUCAAAUGCUAAAUAAUUUCUCUUUGUAGGUAAAUUAGGGAUUCUCUAGAGCUAGAGGUUCCCUAGGUCUCACACUUGUUAUCCCAUAUAGAUUUACAAGUCUAUGACUAUUAUAAAAUGAAUCUUGACACAAAUUAUGUGAUUAGAUUGCACAAUUUCUAGAAGUGUUGCAGAAUUAAUGAAUUUGUACAGGAGUUGCUAAUCCACCUACUUUCGGUGCGACUAUAAUAGAAGAAAGAGGGAAAUUAUAUAAGGGUGUUAAAACCAAUAAAAGUUCAUAGGGCUCAACAAGAUUAGCGCUUCUUCGAAAAGAACAAACAUUAGGUUUUGUCUUGUAACAGAACAAGAGUUUGAAGUAAUUGACCACAUCGAGGAACACGUUAUGCACAAAAUUCCAAAUUUCCUUGCCACUUUAAAAGAACUGAGAAAGUGCAUUCUUCUCAGAAUUACUGUUGAUGCAUAUCAUAUAUGAUGUGUCGGUUUAUUUUUUAGCUAUAAAGCCUUUCGUUACGUUACAAAAGAGAAGGCAACGUAACCAAAAAGGAAAAGUUUAAGGUUGUCGUGCAAUUUCAAAACUCCUCUUUUCGUUUCUUUUAAUGGCAUAAGUUGUAGAUUUAGAAUGUGCACUUUGGUAGUCUAAGAGGAUUUCUAUCGAUUCUGCGCUCCAGAAAUGGUAUGCGAUCUGCUUACCUUCAUUUUGUGAUAUCACUGAUGCAUCUAGUCUCUUUUUUUUUCAUUUAAAAGAAUUUCCAUCUUUAAGCUGUCAAUUUUGGGUAUGAAAACAUUUAUCUGCAUAGAUAUCUUUAGUUAUAUAUAUUCUUUAUUUACCCUGAAUAGGGGAAACUUAAACUAGAAAUUUGAUUUUUUAGUUGGUUGAGAAAGCACUUGAAGAGUGUGGCGAUGACCUAGAUUCUGCAAUCAAACACCUAAAUGAGCUCCGCUUGGGAUCUGGUGAUAAUCUGAGGCCUGUGGCAGGAACCUCUGGUGCUACACAUGACUCCACCAGCCAGUUUCUUACUCAAGGUGCACAUUGAUUUUUUUGUUUUGUUUUGUUUAGGUUGAUGGUUGUUAUUUCCCCCUCCCCCCAUUUUGGGGUUGUUUCUCAACUUUUGUUGGUGUGAGAAGGAACGGUAAGAGGAUUGGGAGUCCCUGUUACAAUUCAUUUAAUCUUCUAUAUAGAUAGCCAAGGUUCCUUUUUUUUAAAAUAGGAUAACUUCUUUUUUAGUAAUCAUGGCACUUCUUAGUGCUGGUUUUGACAUACCAUUUCAACAACCAAAAAAUACAUUUGAUGUCUUCCUUCAUUUGUCUAAAGAUCUGAUCUUUCUUACCCCACUUACUGCACUUUAUUGAUUUUCCCAUUUUCCAAAUGUUUGUCAGUGUCCUGUCGAUUCACCUGCUUCUGCUCUAUAACAUGUAUCAAUUUUAUAGAUGUUUCAAUUGCAACUGUUCAACUAACUGCUUAUCGUUUUAAUGCUUCAUAAUUGGUGGUUUUGUGUUUUUAAAAUUGAGCACGCGGUCAAUUGUGGUCCAUAUUAUCAACCAGUCAUAUUGCUUUGUUUCAGCAGUUUCAUACUUGUAAGUUGCUUGAUAUUUAUGGUGGAGGUUAUCUGCUCCUUCACUGACGCUAACAAACCUCCACUUUAUGUAUCUUAACCCAACUAACUAUUGAAGUAUCUAAUUGCAUGGUCAUUCUUGUGAUAGCUUCACCUCUUCAACUUUCUACCUUUGAUGUUUGUUCUUUAUAUUAGUUUAUACAGACAUUACUCUGUUACUUUUUUUCCUGGUCCUAGUGAACGGCCAAUUAUAGUUGAGGCGAGAGUCUUAUCGGAGACCACCUCUCUACAUUCACAAAGUAGGGGUAAGGCUGCGCACACGCCACCCUCCCUAGACCCACUUGUCGGAUUACACUGGGUAUGCUGAUGGUGGUGGUGGUGAAGGGCCAAUUAGUAUUGUGUCAUUGAGUAGAAGUAUAAGGGAAAGAAUUGGAAGUUAUAUAGGAAAUUAAACAAUGAAAAUGCCUUAUUUAUAUUUGUGAUUCAACUAAAAAGUUUGACAAGUCAAUAAGGGAAUCAGAGUUUUGUUUCAAGACCGACGCACUCUUUUCAUGAUACAGUUAAGUUUGGUCAGUGUAAGAUGUUUAGUUCAUCGUUAUAGGAAUGUCUCGUUUCUUGAAAGAUAUUGCUGCCGAUCCCCUUACUUUUUAAUAUCGUCAUCAGACAAUAAGAGUUAAAUUACUGUAUAACUCUUUUGUUCUGUGUGCUUAUUUUCAUGCAAAGUGGGUCAUUUAAGGCCAUGGAAAGAGGGAAGACUUAAAUAAAUAGCUAGUCUACCAUGAAGUAGAACUGUUUCCAACCUUGCUUUGCUAAAUGUAUUUGAAAAUUGUGUAGUGUAUGUUUCCCUCUUGAUCCACUUGCAAGUUUCGACAAGUGAUAUUCACCAUCGUUGUUGAGCUGUAAUAGACUAAUAGUACAUUCAUUUUCAUUGUAUGUUUUUCAAAGCACUGGAUGUAGAUUCACUGGCACAACUCUGCUUUCAUCCUUAUAUUGACAUAGUUCGUUCACCUUCACCUUCACCUUGUUACAGGUGUGGCUACAAAUGACGGUGAGACGUCAUCUGUAGAGGAUUUAUCUGCUGCAAAAGUCGUGCAUUUGGAGGGUAAAGAAUGGGUGGAGCUUUUUGUUGGAGAGAUGAUGAAUGCGUCAAAUAUAGAUGAUGCUAAAGCCCGUGCUUCACGAACUCUUGAGAUGUUGGAGAAGUCCAUAUGUGCCCGUGCAACUGAGGAAGCCGCUGGUUUCCAGCAGGUGGUCCCUAAAUGUCUUUUAACUUUUUUUCCCCCUGCAUUAUUAACAACCCGGCAUCUCUUUUUUUUUUCCUUGCAUUAUAAACACCCUGUAAUAUAUCGUUCUUAUUUUCUUCUUUCACGUCUGCACUCACUAUGGUCAUAUAGUGGGCAGUUGCUUUUGGGGACCUUAAUAAGAGGUAGAUGAAGGGAUGCAACAAAGAACAAAUUGUAUAAAUGAGAGGAAAAAGAAAAUUAGAAUGAUAUAAAACUGGAAAGUGUGCUUUUACUGCAAUGUCAACGUGAAGUAAAAAGUCCUGAAAGGGUGAUAUGUCUAGAUCUUGAGUGAUUGUGUCUGGUUAUUGGCAGAAGCUACUAAUACUCCUUCUUGUGACCUUCUUGUGUUCCCUUCCCCUCUCGCCCCCCCUCAAUUCAAAUAAAAAACAAUGUCCGUUAGCGUUGGAGGUGUGCACUAGCAUAGUUCCUUAGGCCAGACUGAUUAUCUUGUUAUUUUGACGAAGUUUGUUUUGUCAGUUUUAAAAAUGAAUGUUGUUAAUCAAAAAGAAGAAGGUAUCCAUAUCCAUAUGGGCUUAUAGACUGGUUGUGAUACAGGAGAAUAUGAUGCUCAAGCAGCAACUUGAAGCUCUCAUACAAGAAAAUGCUAUUUUAAAGCGAGCGGUUUCCAUCCAGCAUGAGCGUCAGAAGGAAUACGAGGAUAGAGGGAACGAGUUGAAUCAGCUGAAGCAGUCGUUGGCUCAGUAUCAGGAGCAGCUUCGAACCCUUGAGGUCAGAUUUCUCUUAGAAUUGAUUAUGUUUUCGUGGUUCCUGCAACCUAAGUUGCUCGGACUCUCUAAAAAGUGUUGCCGCACCCGUGUUGGAUCCUUCAAAAAUGCACUAUUUUUGGAGGAUCUGACACGCACCCAAAGACAUUUUUGAAGAUUUCGAGCUACUUAGCCUGCAACCGAAUGACAAUAAGAUGCUUGUCUGGAUUUGUGAUUAUAGUUUUCGGCAUUUUCUUUUCUUACUGUUUUGGACCACUUCCCAUGUAUAGCAUUUUAGUGACAGUUUAGGCCUUCCUGUGUCGUCAGGUCAAUAACUACGCUCUCUCGAUGCACCUCAAGCAGGCUCAACAAAGCAACAACUCUAUUCCAGGGCGUUUCAACCCUGAUGUCUUCUAGUAUGUGUAUAAAUGUCCUUAUUGGCUGCGUAACGUAUAGGAUAGCAACAGUAUGCCCUAUUACCCAGUGUCUUUAAACUAGAACUUAUGUCUUUCGAUUAUAAGUGCCCUGCAGCAGUUAUUAGCCAAAGGGUACUUUGUACUGUUCAUACAAGUUUUUAUUUGCUUUUCUGUUGUUGUUUAAGUUGGAGUAUCGAAGUUCAUAUAGUUUGGUUCUUCUAAUGUUAAGAAAAUAUUCAACACAUGAUUGCGAUGCUUUAUUAUUUCGUUUGAUUCGAUUUCUGUUCCAUUUAAUAUCUUUAGAUUCUCAUGUGUAUAUGAUAUAUCGCGUAAAUAAACACGAUUCUAUCGGAAAUUUUCUCAAUCUUUGAUAAUGACGUUACAACGAUUAGAUACCGACUGAAAAUCUCAUGAAACUGGCAAGUUUCAAGAUCUUGUUACUCUAAACAACAACUUUCCCAGUGUUUGGGGAGGGUUGGAUGUAUGUGAACCUUACCCCUUCCUUUGUGGGGGUAAGAAAACUGUUUACGAUAGAUCUCAAGCUCAAAAGAGAUCUUGAUACUCUAGGGGUCGUUUGGUUGGAGAGAUAAGGAUAACUAAUUCCGGGAUUUAUUUAGAAGAGGAGCUUAUCCUGAAGGGGAGCCUUGGAGUAACUGAUAAAGUUGUUGUCAUGUGAUCAGGAGGUCACGGGUUCAAGCCUUGGAAAUAGCCGCUGGCAGAAAUGCAAGGUAAGGCUGCGUACGAUACACCUUUGUGGUGGGGCCCUUCCCCGGACGCCGCGCAUAGCGAUAGCUUUAGUGCACCAGGCUGCCCUUGGGAGCUUAUCCUAUGUUUGGUUGGAACAAAAUGCAUGGGAUUAUUAAUCCCGGGAUAACUUGUUUUCCGACCAAACGACCCCUUAUGAAUGAAUGCUAGUGUAUCAUAAUCUCUUGGCUCUUAGUUGUAUUUGGAAUUUAUAUAGCAUAGGGAUAUAAGUAUACAUAAAAUUCUCAAUGGAACUUCUUGUACUGAAAGCCACACAUUAGAUUAAUAUUUACUGUGAACAUAACCAAGCUAACUGUGAUAUCUGUACCCUUUCCCUGCACAUUCAUCUGGGGGGGAACUAGACAAAAACCGCGGGUUUAGCUCAAUUCGCGAAGGUUGAGAGACUUGUGUCUUAAGGCACACAAAUUCGAGUCCUGCAUCAAGCGACUUAAGUUCAGUAUUUAAGUAGAGAAGGAUAGAGAGAUUUCUCGAUCAUUAAAAAAAAAAAAAACAAGAGAGAGAUUACAAAACACUUCAAUUCUUUAAGAAAAUGGAAUAAGAGUUCCACAAGCUUUCAUCAUCUUCUUGAACUCAUCAAAAUUCACCAUUCCAUCUCCAUCAACAUCAACUUUCUUUAUCAUCUCUUUACAAUAAUCCAAUUUUUUCCCCUCUUUCAUACCUAAAGUUGAUAGUAUCUUACUCAACUCUUCUUUUGAUAUUAAUCCAUCUUUAUCAUGAUCAAAAACAUCAAAAGCAUCCUUAAGAUCUUUCUCUCUAUUAGCUACUUCUUCUUCAUUCAUUUCACUUUCAUUACUCACUUCCUCUAUUCCCAAGUAUGUAUGACAAAGAUCACAAAACUCAUCAAGAUCAAUUAAACCAUCUUUAUUUGAAUCAACUUUCUCAACCAUUUCAACAAUAUCUUUGUCCUCCAUGAAAAUUCCAAUGUUCUUGAGAGAUAACUUCAAUUCUUGUUUUGUUAUGUAACCAUCAUUGUUCUUGUCAAAAGUUGCAAAAAUACUCCUUAGUUCAACCUUGUUGUAGUUGUUAGACCUAUUCAUCACCUUCUUAUCAACCAUGGUUAUUGAAGGUGAGGGUGUUAUUAUGGUCUUUUCUUGGAGAGAUGGAGAUUUUAGUGAAAUUUUUUGAAUCAAAGAUUGGAACUUGUUAGUUGGGAAAUUGAAAAAUGUUGUAAUAAGGCCAAUAAUGAAGAGAAAUGCUAAGAAAAGAAUGGUUAAUAGUGUAAACAUGUUUGUUUUGCUUUGUGGUUCUUGAAGUUGAAUGGGAAUAGGAAGAAGAAAUGAUCAAAGAGGAGAAUAUUAAGGUGAUAUUGGUGGAAUAUUGAAGCUUUAAAUGAAAAGAAACGAAGUGUCAAUGGGUUGUGAAGAUGAAGAUGCCCUUUGUCAAAAGUAAUUGGAGAACUAUUGAUAAAGAUUUAUGGUGGGUACCAUAUGUGGUGCAGUGAAUGAGGCUGCUCCUCUCUCAACCCUAGACGUCUCAGAUUCGAGCCCUGGGUAUGGGAGAAUCCUUGGUAGGGGUCCUACCCGACGUGAAUUCGGAUCAGUCGGGCUUCAAUGCGGGUUUCAGACACCAGAUGGGAAAUUUAAAAAAAAAAGUUUAUGAUGGGGUACAUAGGACAAUGAAAGAAGAAACCCAAAUUUGUCUUGUGAGUGUGAGAUAGGCAGAUAAGGAGUAUGCAGUCGAAUAACUAUUAUAGUUUUUAGUUGUGAUAAAUGAACUAAUUAGAUGGGCUGUUUCAAAUCUGGAGCUGACAUUUAAAUUGGAAAUCAAUAUCAUGCCCUGACUAUUCAAAAAAUACAGAUCGAAGCGAAAGAUCAUAAAAUGCAACAUAAUAAGGAGGUCAUUAGUCUGUAGCUUUCGCGAAGAAAGAAGCUAAUUAAUCAGAAUUGAGACAGGAAGAAGAGGCUAAAGAUUCAUUUGAUCUAAUUAAUCCUUUUACUUAAUUAGCAUAUAUAUAAAUUAGAUUAAUCUUGAUUGUAUUUAAAUUUUGAAUGCUAAUUUGAAUAGUAAGUAGAAUAUGAAAUAUGUAAUAUUUACAAUAUUUUCUUAAUUACAAAUUAAAAAAGUAAAGCAACUUUUGUUAGUGAAUGAUUAAUAGGCACAUUGUAGUCCCAUUUUUGUCCCCUAUUUUCUUUAAUCAUUGGUUUCUUUCUCUCUUUUUUCUUUAAUCAACUUUUUAAAGCUAUUCUCAUGUACGAAAUAUUUCGCGUUUAUGUUGGACAUGAGAAAAAAUAUACCCUAAAAUAUGACAUAAGUAGUCUUUUCCGAUGUAAAUAUCAGUAAUUAGUUUCACGGCUUGAACCCGUGCAAUAAAAAAAUUCAUAGUUCAAUUUUACCAAACAAUAAAAAGUUCUCUUAGUGACUUUAUUAAAGCAUUAUAUACUUUGCUUUGCUUUGCCUUCACCCAUAGUUAUAUUCAUUUGAUUUGGAUUCUUCACUCAACCCCCCCUACCCACACACACACGUUUACCCCCCAACCACCACACCCCACACAUAGAGGCGGAGUCGGGAUUUCAACUAAGGAGGUUCAAUAUUUGAAGAAAAUUUAACGGAAGGGGGUUUGACACCAACUUUAGAUACAUAAAACAUAAUAUUAAUCAUGUAUAUUGAUAUAUUUUUCCAUCGAAGACGGUUCGGAUGAAUCCCUAGCCAAAGACUCGCUCCGCCCCUGAGUCACACAAAACAAAAUGGAAUAUUUAGAUUCUUCUAAUUAUCUACACUAUCAUAGCAAAUUAGCCUACUAUAGCUCAUGUAACUGAAAAAUAGUCAUUGUUAUGAAUUUUCAAAUUCAAUUCGUGAAAUUUCAGGAUUUUAUCAUAUAGUUUUAAUUUCGUACGUAGAAUUUGAAACUCCAAAAUAAAUAGCUAUUUUUUAAAUAUAUAUAGUCGAAAAGUGAUCAAUGAGUGCUAUCUUUGUAAUUUUUCUAAGGGGAAAACCUCUUAGCCCAACACUAAUUAACAUAGCCCAAUACUUAUCUUUAGUCCAAUUAUUUUUUUUUUCAUCAGCCCAAAUGCUUAACUUAUAGUCCAAUCACAAAUUAUGCAUGUGUAAGUGAACUCAAAAUAUAUGGUUAUCGAGGAUUUCUAGAGCAUGGGUGCACUGUUAUAACACUAUCAUAAAUGAUCUAUGAAGGGAGCAUGAGUUCACGUGAAUCUGGUGACCUCUACCUAGAUACGCUCCUGAACGGACGCAAAAGGACUAGAUGAUUUUCUUUUGAGUUGUCCAAAUCGUAAUAGAUAGUUAUUCAGUAUGUGUAUUCAUGAAAGGUAGCAGAUACUUUGUCGAGUUAGUUGAGACUCAAUUUUAUUAGUCCGAACACCACGAUUAUAAAGAAAGAGAAAUUAUAACUUGUUAAGGUGGCUUCACCAUGUUAACUGGUGUUUCCAAAUGCCAAUUAUAUAAUUAUGGCAUGGAGAAGUGAUUGAUAUAAAUAAAGCUAGGUAUAUUUUUAAUUCAAAUUAUUCACAAUGUCUAAAUUUUAGAUUCACAAGAUGGAUAAAAAAAAUAUAAUUGUGUAAUCAGUCAUUAAUGCUUGUAUUGGUGUGGACUAUCUACAUCACAUUCUUUGAGUGUCGUUUAUUUGUUUUUUUGAAUCCUGCAUGAAUGUUAAAUACCUUGUGCACCAGACUGCCUCUUUAACUGCAUAAAAAAUAGAGUUGCGAAAACAACUGUUAAUACUCGCAUUAGGGUAGACUGAUAACAUGAUCACAUUCUUUAAGAUGUGCGGCCCUUUCUUGAACCUUGUGUGAGCGCGGAAUGGUUUGUACUCUAGGUUGUACCUUUGAACAGGCCGGAACGUAACUAGCAUACAACGAGGGAGUUCAUAACCCCUUUUAGCGAAAAAUCAAACUAUUUAUAUAAGGUUAAAAUUAUUGUUUUUUUUAUAUAUAUAGUAGAUGUUGAACUCCCUUCGACUAGUUCAUGCGUGCAAUUUUGAAUUCUCUCAAUGAAAAUUCUAACUCCGCUACUGUCUCUUUAACUGCAUUAAAAAAACAAAGUUGUAAAAACGAUCAUUAAUACUUGCAUUAAGGUAGACUGACAACAAAGGCGGAGUCAGUAUUUCAAUGAAGGGGGUUCCAUAUUCAAAGAAAACUUAGGAUUUCAACUAAGGGGGUUCCAUAGUCAAAGAAAACUUAGUCGAAGGGGGUUCAACACCUACUAUAACUACAUAAAAAAUAAUUUUAAUCAUGUAUAAAUAAUAUAUUUUUCCGUUGAAGGGGGCUCGGUCGAACCCCCGAAUAGAAGGCUGGCUCCGCCCCUGACUGACAACAUGAUCACAUCCUUUAAGAUGCGCGACCCUUCCUUGAACCUUGUGUGUACUCUAGAUUGUACUUUUUAACAGGGACGGAGCUAGCAUAGAAUGAGGAGUUAGCUCUACUACUGCCUCUUUAUCUGCAUAAAAAAAUAAAGCUGUGAAAACGACUAUUAAUACUUGCAUCAGGUUAGACUGACAACGUGAUCACUUCCUUUAAGAUGCACGAUCCUUUCUUGAACCUUGUGUGAGCGCGAAAUGGUUUGUACUCUAGGUUGUACCUUUCAACAGGGGCGAAGCUAGCAUACAAUGAGGGGGUUAAUAUAACCCCCUUCGACGGAAAAUUACUGAUUAAUAUUAUUUCUUAUGUAUAUAUAAUAGAUCACAUCCUUUAAGAUGCACGACCCUUUCUUGAACCUUGUGUGAGCGCAAAAUGGUUUGUACUCUAGAUUGUACCUUUUAACAGGGAUGGAUCUAGCAUACAAUGAGGGAGUUCAUAACCCUCUUCGACAAAAAAUUACACUAUAUGAUUAAAAUUAUUUUUUAUGAUUAUAUAGUAGAUCAGGAGUAACUGGUAAAGUUGCUGCCAUGUGAUUAGGAGGUCACGGGUUCAAGCCUUGGAAACAGCCUCUGGCAGAAAUGCAAGGUAAGACUGCGUACGAUACACCCUUGUGGUGGGGCCCUUCCCCGAACACCGCGCAUAGCGGUAGGUUUAGUGCACCGGGCUGCCCUUUUCUAGGUGUAUUUAGAUUAUUUAUACAUUACCCUAUUUAGACAUGGUUAAAAUUAUUUUUUAUGCAUAUAUAACAGAUGUUGAACUCCCUUCGACUAAUUCGUCUGUACACUUUGAACCCUCUCAAUCAAAAUUCUGACUCCGCUACUGCUUUUUAACUGUCUAAAAAACAGGAGGAGUUUGGGUGGGGGUGGAGGGGAGAGAUCGUUAGUAGUUAAUUUUUACAGCUAUUACACUAUUUAUACAUGGUUAAAAUUAUUUUUAUGCAAAUAUAACAAAUGCUAAACUCCCUUCGACUAGUUCGUCUGUACACUUUUAAAUCUUCUCAAUCAAAAUCCUGACUCUGCUACUACUUUUUAACUGCAUAAAACAUAGGAGGGGUGGGGUGGGGUGAUGGGGUACUGGGUGUGGGGUAGUUAGUAGCUGGUUUUUGCAGAGCACACGUGAAUUUACUUACACUGAGAAUUGCAGAGAAAAAACAUAUGCAUGCAGUCAUUCCCACUAAGUACUUGCUUAUGUACUCCUCUUACCUUUUGGGACUUUUGCAGUCCAAACCUAAUCUAAUAUUUUCCUGUCUUAUUCAGAAUUUAAACUUUAUAAAUUUUAUUAUAAAAUUUUAUCGACACAUCAUACUUGUAUAUGGUCGGGCCGGGGGUCUAUCGAAAACAGCGUCUCUACUUCAUCUAAGAUAGUGGUAUGAUCUGCGUACACUCUACCAACAGCCUAAUCUAAUAUUUUCCCUUUCUUAUUUAGAAUUUAAACUAUAUGAAUUUUAUUAUAAAAUUUUAUCAACGCAUCAUACUUGCAUAUGGUCGGGUCGGGGGUUUAUCGGAAACAACCUCUCUACUUUACCUAAGGUAGUGGUAUGAUCUGGUACACUCUACCAACAACCUAAUCUAAUAUUUUUCUGUCUUAUUCAGAAUUAAACUUUAUGAAUUUUAUUAUAAAAUUUUAUCAACGCAUCAUACUUGCAUAUGGUCGGGCCAGGGGUUUAUCGGAAACAGCUCUCUACUUCACCUAAGGUAGCGCUAUGGUUUGCGUACACUUUACCCUCCCCAGACCCCACUAUGUAGAAAUACGUUGAGUAUGUUGUUGUUGUUGUCGUCAUACUUGCAUAUGUAUCUCGUUUAGCUUUUUGAGGCGGAAUAUUAGCUACCACUAUCGUAUAGAAAUUGAAGCGGAGUCUCAGAGUAACUGAUAAAGUUGAGUAACUGAUAAAGUUACUGUUAUGCAUGUGACCUGGAGGUUACGGGUUCAAGCCUUGGAAACAGCUUCUGGCAGAAAUGCAAGGUAAAGCUGCGUACAAUACACCCUUGAGGUGGGGCCCUUCUUCGGACCCUGUGCAUAGCGGAAACUUUAGUGCACCGGGCUACCCUUUUAUUAUCGUAUAGAAAUAGCGGUCGCUGGUCAUUUUUUCAGUUAUGUAUCUGAAAACAAUUAUUAUCUUGAAAUUUCAAACACAAACACGAAAUUCAAUGAUGAUUUUAUUUUAAAUUUUAUCGAUGCAUCGUACUUGCAUAUGUAUCUCGUUUGGUAUAGCUUUUCGAGCCGCAACAUUAGCUACCAUUAUCGUAUAGAAAUAGCGAUCAGUAAUUAUUUUUUUAGUUAUGUAUCUGAAAACAAUCAUUAUCGUGAAAUUUCAAAUACAAACGCGAAAUCUAAUGAUGAUUUUAUUUUAAAUUUUAUCGAUGUGUCAUACUUGCAUAUGUAUCUCGCAUUAGGAUAAGUUACAGUACAUUUCUCCAAACCCCGCCGUUUAAAUGAUGUAUAGAUUGUUUACGUCAUACCUUUUGGUGUGAAGCUCAUUUCCGAACCUUAAGUGAAUGUAAAAUAUUUUGUACACUGAUUGCGAAAAUAUUUACAAGCUUCAACUUGCAAUGGACACAAACAAAAAACAAGCUGUAUAAUUAUCAAUGUGGACCUAAUAUUAUCUGGCUAAUAUAUAGUGACCAAUAGCAAUAUUAUUCUUAUUCUACAAGGUGCUAUAUAUAUAUAAUCUUUUCUUCUUUAUUUAAUUUUUCACAAAAAUUAUUAACAACAAAAAUUAUUCCUUUAUUUAUAUAUAAGAUAUUACGAUAGAAAUAACGUUCAAUAAUUACUUUUUGCGUCAUAUCUUUUUUAAAUAGACGUUAUUACAGAGUUUUAAAUUUUUACGAUAAAAAUUUCAUAGUAAUAUCCUGAAAUUAUAUGUGAAAUUUAAAACUUCAGGAUAGUAGCUAUUUUUUAAAUUACAUCAAGAUAAUAUUUAUUAGUAAAUUUAUGGUACAUAAGAAAAUAAAAUUAUUUGAGGGACCAUAAAAAACCCCAUACUUAAUUUUGUUCCAAAUAAAAUCAUGCCUACAUGGUAACAUGUGAUGGGAAUGGGAUGCCCUUAUUUUCUUUUCUUUUUUUAUGAUUAUUUUGGUUUAAUAAUUUAAAUAUUUUUUCAAAACUAUAUACUAUAUCAUUUUUUGUAUUUUAAUAAAAAAAAUGAUAUAAAUAUUUUUGUUUUUAUUCAAGAUUUACUACCCCAUCUAAUGUUGGCUCCUUUGCCCCACUAUGCACUCACCAUUUAUAGCAAUGUAGGCAUUAUGUGGGCAAAGUUAAACCUAUCAUGAUAAUGUUCGAGUCAGUUUUCGUGUAAUUUUAAAUUAUUUUAUCAAAUAUAUAUUACCGACCAUCUUCACAAAUAUCGAAAUUAUAUUUAAUGAAGCGAAAAUAUGCAUUAAUUAACCAUAGUUAAUUGAAAAUAACGUCUGUAUACAAACAUGUUGCGAGGUGUAUAUUGAUGUGAUGUUAACAUCGCGGGUAUAACAUCUAUAUACAAACACGUGCUAAGUAUAUACUGGUCUGACGUUAACAUCUCGAGUAAACAUUUAUACGUAUACAUGUGCUGAGUAUAUAUUGGUUUCACGUUAACAUCACGAGCAGAUGUGUAUAUACGUACACGUGGUAAGUAUAUAUCGGUCUCACGUUAACGCUGCAGGUAAACAUCUAUAUACAAACACGUGCUAAGUAUAUAAUCUUUUGACGUUAACGUCGAGUAAACAACUAUAUAUACAAACAAACACGUGCAAAGUAUAUAGUAGUCUGAUGUAAACACCACAAGUAAAUGUCUAGAUACACAAACACGUGCAAAGUAUAUAUGGGUCUGAUGUUAACACUGCGGGUAAACAUCUAUACACAAACACGUGCUAAGUAUAUAUUCUUUUGACGUUAAAACCAAGUAAACUUCUAUAUAUACAAACACGUACAAAGUAAAUACUGGUCUGACGUUAACACCGCGAGUAAAUGUCUAUAUACAGACACGUGCUAAGUAUAUAUUCUUUUGACGUUAAAACCAAGUAAACGUCUAUAUAUACAAACACGUGCAAAGUAAAUACUGGUCUGACGUUAACAUCGCGAGUAAAUGUCUACAUUCAGACACCUGCAAGUAUAUAUUGAUCAGAUGUUAACACCACAAGUAAAUGUCUGUAUACAGACACAUGCUAAGUAUCUAUUAGUCUGACGUUAACAUCGUGAGUAAAUAUCUACAUACAGACACGUACUACGUAUAUAUUGAUCUGACGUUAACACCACAAGUAAAUGUCUCCAUACAGACACGUACUAAGUAUAUAUUGGUCUGACAUUAACAUCACGGGUAAAUGUCUAUAUACAAACACGUACUAUAAGUAUAUAUUGGUUGGACGUUAACACCAAAUAAACGUCUAUAUUUACAAACACGUGCAAAGUAAAUGCUAGUCUAAUGUUAACACCGCAAGUAAAUGUCUGUAUACAGACACGUACUAAGUAUAUAUUAGUCUGGCGUUAACAUCGCGAGUAAAUGUCUACAUACAGACACGUACUAAAUAUAUAAAGAUCUGAUGUUAACACCGCAAGUAAAUAUCUAUAUACAGACACGUACUAAUUAUAUAUUGGUCUGACGUUAACAUCGCAAGUAAAUGUUUAUAAACAGACACGUACUAAGUAUAUACUGAUCUGACGUUAAAACCGCAAGUAAAUGCCUACAUACAGACACGUGUUGAGUAUAUAUUGAUCUGACGUUAACAUCGCGAGUAAAUUUUUAUCCUUUAUUGACCAAUAUGCCCUCCUUCCCCUCUAUAAAGUUGGUUUAAUCAUAGACAACACACUAUAUGCUAUUGUGGUCCAUACUAAAAACACUUUCUCUCUCUUUUCUCUCUCUUCAUUCCUCUUGAAGAUUAUUUUACUAUAGUUUAAUAUAUAAUAUAAAGUCCUAUCAUUCUUUUCCACAGCUUUCUUGAACUAUUUUAUGCUGGAUUAUCAUCUUUGGUAAUUAUUAGGUUACUGCCAGAAAAUCGCUAAUUUGUUUACAGACGUCUGGAUAGAAUUUAGCUCGCGUGUGUCACUAACGAGCCAAAUUCUGAUGGAUUUAUUUGGAAAUUAGCGAUUUUCUAAUAGUGCGAUGAGAUUAAGCUAUGAAAGUUCAAGAAAGUUGUGGGAAAACAUGGUGAAUUUAGGACUUUUCUUGAGUGAAAUUGCUAUUUUUAUGGAGGAUGUUUGGUUCAACAUUUUGCUAUAUUGGACAUAUAGCCCAUGGUAAAUUCUUGAAAUUGACUUUUACAUUUUUUAAUUAUUAUUGUAUAUAUACUUGUAAUUAUUUGGUUUAAUCCAAGAAAAUUCUGUACAUGUUACACCUUUUACUUUUUUGUUAUAUUAAGAGCAAAGCAUCUAGGAGCUUCUUGAAUUAUGACUGAAUUUGCUACGACACACUGGAGUUAGUUUUACGGGGAUUCUAUUAUCCCUCUGAACCAAAUUUUAGCAUAUUUUUGUUAUUCUUUUUAGCUGAUGUGACACCUUUUGUCAUCCUUUUUAGCUGACAUGGAACCUUUAACGUGGACCCCAUUUUAUGUAAUAAAGGUGUCACCAGCAUAAAAGAGUGACAAAAAUACGCUAAAAUUGAGUUUAGGGGGGGGGGAGGGGGUAAUAUAGGACCAUUGUGAAAUUAGAGUAUGUCAUAGCAACUUUGGCCAUAAUUCGGGGAGGUACUGGAUGCUUAUAUCAAACAUUUUGAGAAUUAUAGUUUUUGAAUUCUUUUUCAUAUUUUCCCUUUCUAUAUUAUUGGCUUCUUCUACAUAUUUUUAUUUCAGAAAGUAGAUCUCAUGUGUGGAAUUUUUGAAUUUAUUUCCUUUUGGUUUAAGAGUUUUAAUUUUUCUUCAAUGGAAUGAAGUAUUGAUUAUUUACCAUAUUAUGUGGGAAUUUAUGAAUUCUAGAUUUUGAAUUAAAGCAAGGUAAUUAUAUCAUUUUUUUUCAUUCAUUAAUUGUAUAAAAAAUAUUUUACAUUCUUUUAUUUGAUUAACCAUCUCUCAUGAACUUCAUUCAUAGUAGUUUAACUUAUGAUAGCAAGUCAACUAUCAAUUUUAUCUUCUUAAUUAUAGUAUUUAUUAUAAAAACCUGCUUAGUAUAAAACUUUCUUGAAAGUGAUCUGUAUAUAAAAAAUAAUUUAUGUGAAAAACUUAAAUCUUAUUGAUUUGAUUUUUAUGAAUUUUGAGUAAAAUAAAUAUUCAGAAUGGUGAAAAAUUAAUAAGAUAAUAAGUGGCAGGUAAGAUUGCUUAUCUUUCUUUCGAUAUUUCGAUGCACAAAAUAUUCCACAUUUAUAUAUCAUCUUGUGAAAGAUAAUAAGUGGUUGAUAGGAUUCAUUGUCUUCCUUUGAAUAUUCCGAUGCACAAAGCAUCUGACAUUCAUAUAUGAUCCAGUAAAGAUCGCACUCGAGAGAUGUGAAAAAUGAGAUAAAUAAGUGGCAAAUAAUAUAAGAUUCUUGAUCUUUAAUUUUUUUUGAAUAUUCCAAUGCACAAAGCAUUCGGUAUUCACAUAUGAUCCAAGAAAGAUAAUAAGUGGCAGAUAAAAUUCUCGAUCUUUAAAUUUUUUUGAAUAUUUCGAUGCACAAAGCAUCCGACAUUCACAUAUGAUCCAGUAAAGAUCGCACUCGAGAAAUGUGAAAAAUGAGAUAAUACGUGACAAAAAAGAUUCCUGAUCUUUAUUUUUUUUGGAAUAUUUCAAUGCACAAAGCAUUCGGUAUUCACAUAUGAUCCAAGAAAGAUAAUAAGUGACAGAUAAAAUUCUCGAUCUUUAUUUUUUUUUUUUGAAUAUUUCGAUAUUCAAAUAUUCGAUAUUUAUAUAUGGUUCGGAGAAAGAUCGCAUCACAUAAAAAAUGAGAUAAUAAAUUUGCAGAGAAUAUUCCCUAGCUUUCCCUUUAUUACUAUCAAUAAUUGAUAUUGUUUAUAUCAUUUAUUUCCAUGUAAAAGGUUAAUUUUUGUUACUAUCUGAAAAAAAAAAAAAAAUUAUUUACCCUACUUGUGAAUUUACAUCGUAACUAUAGUUUAUAACAACUUUUUAUGGUUUUAUAAACCAUUAUUUAUAAAUGCAAUUUUAUAUUCAAUAUUCUAUGAAAAAUAAUAUAAGUUACUAUUAUAAUGAAAGUGGUAACUAACAUGUUACCGUAGGUAGAGGCAGAGUCAGAAUUUCAUCUAAGGAGGUUCAAUAAUUAAAGAAAAACUAGUUGAAGGGGAUUCAACGUCUAUUAUAUAUACAUUAAAAAAAAAAAAAAUUUAGUCAUGUAUGAACAAUAUAUUUUUUUUGUCAAAAGAAUUUUGGAUGAACCCCUAGCCAAAGGAUAGCUCCGCCCUUGAUCGUAGGCACUGGCAGAGUUCAAAUUUUACUAACGAGAUUCAACAUAUAUCCGAACGUAAAUCCACAAAUAGAAUUUGAAAAUGAUAAAAUAUACGCAUUACGAAAGACUGUCAGUUGACUCCCUUAAAUAGAAAUGACUUUUUUUUCCACUAAUCACAUAUUAGUACCAAAAAUAUUUUAUCAUAAUAAAGUGGUUGAUAUGUUUUAAUACCUAAAGAUUUUAAUAUUUAUUCCACACCAAUAUAAUAUCAGAGUUAUUAUUUGCAAAUUAAUAGAGGAAAAUCAUUAAUUGCCAACUUGCUAGGGAAAAUAUAAUUAGUGGCAAAUAAUAAUCUUGCAGGUAGUACUUCUUAAUUUAUUAAAUGUGAUAAAAUUAUAUGUGUAGUAAUUUUACAUAAAUAAAAAUUACAAUAUUAGCUCCACAUGCAUGAUUAUUAUUCAGUAUUCGAAUUUCACUGGCUAAAUUAUUAUUUGUAUUUUUCACUUCGAUUAAGUGUGAAAGAAUCUUUGACAAUCGACCAAUCGAGGAGGCAUUACAUGUUUCAUUUCUAUUUAUUUAUAUUAUAAUGUCCUCGAAAUAUUAAAAUAUCAAAAUUAAGAAUCGAAAUGACUAAAAUAUUGUUAAAAACCCUUUCAACUCUAGAAAUUUUCUAUGAAUUGAAUGCAUGUAAUUUUGAAAAGGGAUAAUACUUACAAAAAUAGCUGAAAUUUAAUCGAAUUUUUAGUUGAGCAUACUGAACUUUGUGGGGGUCCUAUUAUCCCCCUAAAUUUUUUUUUUUCGUAUUUUAAUGGCAUAUAUCUGCCACUUGGACACGUAUAAAUAUGACACGCGCUAAUACACGUGUAAAAACGAGAUUGUCGCGCCGCUGAAACUGGGUAUAGAGGGGGCGGGGGAAUUAAAUCCACUUUAAAAAGUCUAGGAGGGUAAUAGAACCCCCGCAAAGUUCAGUAUGAGUCUAGGAGGGUAAUAGAACCCCCGCAAAGUUCAAUAUGCUCAACUGAAAAUUCGAUCAAAGUUCAGAUAUUUUUAUGAGUAUCAUCCCUUUUGAAAAUCGAAUAUAUAUAUAAAUCUAUGUGGCUCCGCGUCUGACUACUAAAUUGUCCUUAAGAAUGUAUAUAUACUUCCAAAAACAAAAUAGUAACAUUUGUCAAUCAAAGUAUAAGUAGAAAAUUGAUAAAAUAAUGAGAUUUGUCAAUCAAAGUAUAAGUAGAAAACUGAUAAAAUAAUGAGAUAAACAAUCAGUAUCUUCGAACUAUGGUUAAAGUUAUUAUGACACACUUUAAUUUUACAGGAUUUUUACUACCCUCGAAACUCAAUUUUAGCCUAUUGUGUCACCCUUUUGUGUUGACGUAGCACUUUUAUUACAUAAAAUGACGCCCACGUCAAAAGUGUCAUGUCAGCUAAAAAGGUUGACAAAAGAUGUCACGCCAAUUCAAAAGGAUGACAAAAAUACGUUAGAGUUUAGUUUUGAAGACUAAUAGAACCCCCGUAAAGUUCAAGUGUAUUGUAACAUAUUCAAUCAUAAUUCAGGGAUACUAGAUACUUCCUCCGUCCCAAAUUAUCCGUCUCAAAUUGAGAUGGCACAAUAACUAAGAAAAAUAAUUAAUAACAUGCCUAGUUUAACAUAGUACCCCUAUUAAAUGAUGUUUACAUUUAAUUUGAAGAAAAAAUAAUUAAUGCAAAGCGUAAAACAUGAAAAAAAAUUUCUCUUCUUGAUUAAUGAAAAAAGACAAGUAAAAUAAGAAAUCAAAUUAGGAAAUUUGGCACGGAGGGAGUACUUUACUCUAAACUAAUUGAAUAGAUGUAAUGCUUUGGAAUUCAAAGAAACAAACCAUGCACAAAUUUUUUAAAUAUGGUCAAAUUUGUUUCCCCAUAAAAAUCAUAUCCCAAUAAAUUUUCCAAAAUGUCAACAUGAAUAUCCACUUUUCCUGCAUUUAAAACAGCAAAUAUUCAGGCAUGCAUGAAUAUAUAUAUAUAUAUAUAUAUAUAUAUAUAUAUAUAUAUAAAUCAUUUACUUCCAGAAAAUAGGAGAAAGAAAAUAACUACGUUUAUCGAUUGGACAAGUAGCAAAUAUUCGAUGAAAUAAUUGAUUUAUUCAAUUGAUACAAUCCUUAAUAAGAGGUUUUGAGCUCUAGAAAUCGACAAAAUCAUAAUAGUAAAGAUGAAAAAAUAGUCACUUUCUCGACUUAAUUAUGAUUGAAAAAUAGCUGAGUAAAGCAACUAGUACCUCCCUGAACUAUGACCAAAUUUGCUACGACACGCUCUAACUUCACAGGGGUCCUAUUACCCCCAUGGACUAAAUUUUAGCAUAUUUUUUUUAAUUUUUUUAGAUGACGUGACACCUUUGACGUGGAUCCUAUUUUAUAUAAUAAAGGUGUCACGUUAGCACAAAAGGAUGUCAAAAAUACGCUAAAAUUGAGUUCGGGAGUUAACAGGACUUUUGUAAAGUUGGAGUGUGUCGUAGUAACUUCGGUCAUAGUUCAAGGGUACGUACUAGAUGCUUAUCUCAAAAUAGCUAGAUUCAAACGUCAUUAAUAAAAUAGCCAAUUUUCGAAAUCGGCUACAGUAUCCUAGAUUUUUCACUUGUUUAAGUUCGAAAUUUUCAUGAUACCGACAUAAUGUUUAAUCAGUGAAUUCUGAAUACCAAAUAAAUUAUUUAUAAAAAAAAAAAAAAAACUUAUUUUUACUUUUGUGUGUGGGAUCUUUUCAUUGACAACUAAGACAGCCAAAUCAACACAAGAUUAUUAUGUUUGAUAAUUAUUUUCUUUAUCUUUCAAUGCUUUAAUUUCUUCCAAUUUUUUCCAAUUAAAUAAUCAAAAGAAAAAUAAAAGGUGUCUAAUCUUAACUUUUUAAUUCAAUCCUGUCUUUUUUUUGGGCCAAAAGUUAAAUAACAUUUGCCUAUGAUAAAACAAAAUUCUAACUUUUUUAACUAUUAGUAAUUAUUAUUAGCUAAGUCCAAAUAUAAAAUUGCAUGUUGCAUCCCAAUAUGUUUAACUUUAAACCAACAGUGUCAGUGGGAAAUUUUUUUUUUAAAAAAACUUGACCUCUAAAGUAAAAGCAAAUAAAGCAAUUUAUAUUUAAAACAUUUAACUUUAGUACUAAGUAUUAAUAAAAGCAAAUAAAGCAAUUUAUAUUUAAAACAUUUAACUUUAGUACUAAGUAUUAGUGUGGAUUUGGACAUACAAACAACAACAACAUACCCAAUAUAGUCUCACGAAAUGGGGCCUAAGAAAGAUAAAGUAUACAACGGAGCCAAGAUUUCAACUCAGAGGAUUCAAUAUUUGAAGAAAACUUAGUCGAAGGAGGUUCACGUACUAUAGAUACAUAAAAAAUAAUUUUAAUAAUGUAUAAAUGGUAUAAUUUUUCGUCGAAGGAGAUUCGGAUGAACCCCUGCAUGCCAAAGGGCUAGCUCCGCUCCUAGCUAGUGUACAUGAACUGUACCUUUAUAUCAGAGGUGAGGUAGAGACGCUAUUAACGAUAGACACCCGGUUCAAGACAAAGACAGUCUAAAAAAAUGUUAUGAACAAAAGAUAGUAACGAAAACAACAGAUAGUGUAGCUGAAUAUUACUAUAAUCAAAUAACUCUUGAAUCCGUCCAUAGCCAACAUUUCACACCUCCGCAAUGACCCAUUCAUGCAUCUCCUCAUAACAAGCCUAAACCAUCUCAACCUCGCUUCCCGUAUCUUGUCUUCCACUGAAGUCACUAUUUUGGACGUAAAAAUUGUGAAAUUCGAAAAAAAAAAGUAGUAUUUGAUCUCAAGUUGAAAAUGGAAGAUUAUUUGAAAAUCGAAAUUGUGUUUGGAUAUGAAUACAAACUGAAGUUAUUUUAAAUUUUAUGUAAGUAAUUUGGGGUGAAAAUUGUGAAAACAGUAUUUUCGUGUUCUUUUUAUUCCAAAAAAUUAUAACAAUUCUAUAUCAAAAUAGUUUUUUCAGAAUAAUAUUUCAGAAAAAAGUGAAAAAAUAUUCAUGACCUAAUGGGCAAUUAGCAUCCAAGAAUGUGAAAUCAAAAAAAAAAUAAAAAAUCUCACUAAGUAUUGUUUUAAACUUUUAAUUAGAAUAAUUGUCAAGGAGUCAGCUUCUGCAAUAACAGCUAAUAUAAUUAAAAUGAAAUAAAUUCACUAUAUUUAUAUUGAAUACUUUACAUGCAUGUACCUGCAAAGGACAAUAUAUAAUUGGACUAAAUUUUAUUAUACAUUAGUACAUAUAAAUAAUUAAUAACUUUUUUCCAGUACAAAUCUGUCAUGACCUGGCACAGAUCAUAAUGAAUAAUCAAGCAAAUAUGUAAUUAAGUUUAUCUUCUAUACACUCAUAAUGAAUAAUAUAAUUUUUUCCAUCACCAAUUAUAGGGCUUGUUUGGUAAAAGAGAUAAAAGAGAUAACUAAUCUCGAGAUUAAUUUUAAGAUGCGAUUAUCCUAUGUUUGGUUGAAAAAAAUGCACGGAUAACUCAUUGUGGAAUUAGUUAUCUCAAGAUUGUAGUGUUAUUUUUAACGAUGGGAUAACUAACUAGAAUAACUAAUCUCAAAACAAUUAAUUCCAGGAUAACUUAUUUCCCAGCCAAACGACCCUUAAGUAAAUGAAACCACUGCUUUCCUAUUAGUUGUCAUGUUUAUUCAUUGUCGUUUUUUCCUUUUCGUUACUACUUUAAUUUGUUUCAUUUGAGUCGAGAGUCUUUUCAAAACAGUUUCCCUACGUACCUUCAAAUGGUAGGGGUAAGAUAAGAUCUGCAUACACCUAUAUAUAUAUAUAAAAAGAAACAAUUUUUCUUUAUGUCAUACAAAGAAGAAGUAAAAGUGGGAUCUGAUCAUAUAAAAUUAAAGCAAGAAAAAGAUUAUAUACUAUAUAUAUGUUUUUUUUGUUUUUUGUUUUUCAUCCGGUGUCCGGUACCUGCAUUGGAAACCGACUAAUUCGAAUUCGCGCCGGGUAGGGCUCCAUUUGGGGUAGUGCUCCCAACAGAGUUUUUCUCCAUGCCCAAGGUCGAAUCCUCAACCUCUGGUUAAGGGUGGAGCAGCCCCAUCCGCUGCACCACAACCCAUGUUGGUUACUAUAUAUAUGUUCAUCUACUUUCAACAUGGUUGUAUUUGAUAUUAAUAUGGAGAGAGCAUACAUAAUAUUUUUCUCUUGAAGUGAUUUAUUAAUGCUGCAAUAUUUAUAACUUCUCUUUCUGCAAAUUUUAAAGUUGUAGUGGUUAAAAUGGCUGGCAAAUUAGCUAUGGCCUGACAUAAUGAAAUACCUUACCUAAUUUAAAUAAAUACCUUUAAUAAAAUUUAUGUAGACAUAGUUGGGAAGGCUCCAUAUGAGAAGGAAAUGACAAGAUUGUGGUCCAUAUUAAAUUCCAACAAAAUGGAAAUUUUCAUAAUUGCUAUGAAGUAAAAUGGUGCUCAUGCAUUAUUUCUUUUGAGUGUAUAGUAUAUCGGAAACAACCUUUCUACUUCAUCUGAGAUAGUGGUAGGACUGCAUACAUUUUAUCCUUCUCAGACUUCACUUUAUGGGAAUACACUGGGUAUAUUAUUGCUGCUGUUGUUGUUAUUAAGUCAAUAGUCUAUCGGAAACAGCCUCUAACGGUAUGAACUGUGUACACUUUACCCUCUCCAGAUUCCACUUUAUAGGAAUAUAUUGGGUAUGUUGUUGUUGUUGUUGAGUUGAUAGUCUAUCGAAAACAACUUCUUUACUUUAUUUGAAGUAGUGGUGUGGACUGCGUACACUUUACCCUCUCCAGACUCCAUUUUAUGGGAAUACACUGGGUAUAUUGUUGUUGUUGUUGAGUCAAUAGUUUAUCGAAAACAACUUCUUUACUUCAUCUGAAGUAGUGGUAUGGACUGUGUGCACUUUAUCCUCCUCAGACCCCACUUUAUAGGAAUACACUAGGUAUGUUGUUGUUACUAUUGUUGUUGUUGAGUCGAUAGUCUAUCAGAAACAGUCUCUCUACUUCAUCUGGAGUAGUGUGGUAUGGACUGCGUACACUUUACCGUCCCCAGACUCUACUUUAUGGAAAUACACUGGGUGUAUUAUUGUUGUUUUUGAGUCAAUAGCCUAUCGAAAACAACCUCUCUACUGCAUCUGAGGUAGUGAUAUGGACCGCAUAAAUUUUACCCUCCUCAAACUCCACUUUAUAGGAAUACACUAGGUAUGUUGUUGUUGCUGUCGUUGUUGUUGAGUCAAUAGUCUAUCGAAAACAGUCUCUUUACAUCACAAAGAAAGAAAUAAGGUUUGUGUAUAUCAUUCACAAAGAAAGAAAUAAGGUUUGUGUAUAUCAUGCUCUUUUCAAACUCCACUUGUGAAUUACACCGAAUACGUAGUUAUUGUAUAUAUAAUCCACGAAAAGAGGCUCAAGUUUUUUUUUUGUUUUUAUUUUUCACCUGACGUGGAGUACUCAUUUUGGGAGUAACUCUGACUAAUCCAAAUUCACGUUAUGUAAAUGUUCAUAUUUUAAUAGAGUUAAAAGGAUCGAGACCUAUAAUUAAAGAUGGAGAGAUGUUACCUAUAUAUUCACCACAAGUAUUGGUGGUGAAACUUGAAAGGGAUCAAAUAUGGUAAAAAAUUCUUAGAUCAAACAUAGUAACAUACAAAAAUAUAGAUCAUAUAAAUUAGUAUGAAAGUUUAAUAUGUACCUAUUUGAGGAUUGAUGUACAAUACUAGGCCUCAGUGGAACAAAUACCACAUGUUGGACAGUUCAAUGCACUAAAAUUUUCGCUAUAUUUAGGGUUAACGAAAGAGCUAGACUACAAGAGUCUACUGUACGUACCGUACCCUGCAUUUAACAAGAGACUGUUUUCACGACCUGAACUCACAUGAAGGCAACUUUACAUUGACUGUACGUACCAUACCCUGCAUUUAACAAGAGACUAUUUUCACGAUCUGAACUCACAUGAAGGCAACUUUACAUUGACUGUACGUAUCGUACCCUGCAUUUAACAAGAGACUGUUUUCACGACCUAAACUCACAUGGAGGCAACUUUACAUUGAUUGUAAAGUAUCGUACCCUGCAUUUAAAAAGAGACUGUUUUCACGACCUAAACUCACAUGAAGGCAACUUUACAUUGACUGUACGUACCGUACCCUACAUUUAACAAGAGACUGUUUUCACAACCUGAACUCACAUAGGCAACUUAACAAUGUAAGAUAUUCAAUACGAGUUCAGUAAAAUUCAAUAAUUUUGAUUCAAACCUUCUAUAUAUGUUAGAGAAAUUUACCAAAUGCAUACAAAAUAAAAUUCAUAAUUGAAAUUAAAUGUUGUUUAUGAAAUUAAACCAAUUGCUUUCUUGAGUUGGGGUGGGGGCCUAUAAUACUAUAUUAAUUGGAACUUAUGGAAAGAUUAAAAAAGGACACCAUGUGAUAACAAAUCACUAAAAACCAAACAUGGAUUAAUAAAGUUACAAAAAUAUAAAUCAACAAAUAAAGUUUCCAACAUAAUUCACAAAAUUGAGAAAUAAUAGAUCUAGUGAUAGAGAAUAACUCACCAAUAAUAAUUUCUCAUUCAGAAUUUUCACUAAUGAAAUUCAAUUCAAUAUAUAAAGAAUUGAUAUAUGUACACACAAUAAUAGAUCUAAUAAGCAGAAUCAUGAAUUUCACUAAUAAAAUCCAAAAAUAUAAAAAGUUAGAUAUAUAGAAAAAAAGUCAAAGAAUUCAAUAUAAAGCCAAAGUCGGAAGACCGAACCAAAGCACCAACCGAAAUAGAACAAGAUCAUCAAUUCACCAUGAAGUAAUAAUAAUAAUAAUAAUAAUAAUAAAAUCUGCUAAUUAUAAUUUUUGAAUAAUAAAAAGAAUAAAAAUAUAUAUGCUGUUGACUCUAUAUGUAUCUUCCCACAGCUUUAUUGAACCCCAAAAAUUUUAAUUAAUUCUCUUCAUCUUAACCAAAAAAAAAAAAGAAUUAAAAUUUUGAUUUAUGCAGUUCAAGAAAGCUGUGGAAAAGUACAAAAAGAGUCAUUUUGUACACAAACAAAAAAAAAAAAGUACCCCUCAUUAACCCUAAAUAGGGUUUCUUGAAAAAAUAAAAAAUAUUUUUUUUCUCUCUCUUUUUUUUUCUUUCUCAUUUUGUGUUGUAAAGUGUUGUUUGAGGAGAAGAAUGAACAACCCUACUUUUUCUAUAACUACUAAAAAAAGCCAAAUUUAUUUCACCCCAUUAAUUAAUUUAUUACUCUUUACCACCAAAAAAAUAUGAUGCAGUGGAUGAACGGCUCCUCCCUUAGUUAAAGAUUUCAGAUUCGAGUUCUGAAUAUGAAAAAAAUCUUAGUUGAAAGCGUUAUUCCUGAAUGGAGUUCUACCCGACACAAAUUCGGAUUAGUCGAAUUUCAAUGUAGGUAUCGAACAUUGGAUGAGAAACCAAAAAAAAAAAAAUUAUUGCUUUUUUUGUUUCGAUUUAGGUGGCACGGUUUGAUUUGACUGGAUAUAUAGAAAAAAAAAAGAAAAAAAAUAACAUAAAUAUGCAUCUUAACUUAUCAUAUUUAGACAUAUCUGCAUUCUUAUAAAGUAAUUACAGAAAUUUCAACUAAAUAUAUAUCUUCGUUAGAUGUAUCAAGAGCUAAUUAUGUAUCUCGACAGUUUCAAAAUAGAAAAAAUUUAUCGAGAGCUAAUUCUGUAUCUCGACAGAUUCAAAAUAUAAAAAACGUAUCGAGAACUAAUUAUGUAUCUCAACAAAUCCAAAAUAGGAAAAAAUAUAUUGAGAGCUAAUUAUGUAUAUUUAUAAAAAAAAAUUAUAUCUUUAUUGAAUGUAUUAUGUAUCUCGACAGACCCAAGAUAGAAAAAACGUAUCGAGAGCUAAUUAUGUACCUUUAUAAAGGAAUUCAAUUAUGUACCUUUAUAAAGGAAUUCAAAUGUAUCUUUUUUGGAUGUAUCGCAAGCUAAUAAUUAUAUAUUUCGACAGACCCAAAAUUGAAAUUUUCAGUAAUUAUGCAAAAUGUAUAAAUCUUUUGUAAUGAAGUUUCAAAUUAUCGAGAUUUAUGUUUGCCUAAAAAAAGAUUCAUUUUUGAACUUUGUUAUUUAAAACAAAUCUUAAGCAGUUAGGUUGCGAUAAAUUAUUUAAUUUUGUGUAAAAGAAAUUUUAAAGUCAAUUAAACUAAUAUAGAAAAGUAAUAUUUUUAUACAAAUUAAAAAGGAAAAAUAUCGCAUGAACUGAAAUACGUUGAGUUCUACUAUAUAAAGCUAAAUUAUUUAAAAUGAUAUCCAGUCAAAUAUUAUCUAAUAUUAUUGAGUUUUAUACUGUUAAAUUAUUUAUAGUGAUAAUCUGAAUAAUAUUUGGUUACUAUUAAUACAUAAUGUAUUUGUCUAAUGUCAUUAUAUAUUAGGCAUAUUAAUACAUGGUGCAUACAAGAUCGUGUCUAUAAAAUUGGUGGCCUAAAGCUAGAUUUAAAUAUUAGGCAUUAAUUAUAUACAUAUAAAAAAAUAUUAUUAAUAUUUAGAGUUAAUUUUGAAUUUUGCGUACUACUUUUUUCUAAUGUAUUUUUGUUAAAAGACAUUAAGCAUUUUACUUCAGGUAGUAAUAUUGUUAUUUAUAAAAAUAAGGAUCAAUUUUAAUUAAUAAGAUAUUAGUUAUUUGUUUGCAAUGCAUUACCUUGAAUGUUGUUGUAAUAACUUUAUUUAUAAAUAUUAAGAUUUGCGUAUUUGUUUUAAAGUUCUAAUAAAUUACUUUUGAAAAAUUUUUAGAUAAAUUCUUCUUCUUUUUUCAAUUUGAUACCUUUUAUAUUUUGUAAUCUUUAAUAUUAUUUUGAGUAAAAUUAAAAUCAUAAAUUUAUAUUAAUUUUUUUGAGUCUCAAAAUUUUGGAGCGUUUGCUUAAGCCACCCCCAAGUGCCUAUGUAUAACGUCUGUUUUUUUUUGUUUCUCAUCCAGUGUAUGAUGCCCACAUUGGAGUUCCGACUAAUUUGGAUCGCGCGUUGCAGGGUCCAUUAAGGUGGGUAGCCACCCCCGAGUGCCUAUGUAUAACGUCCUUUUUUUUGUUUCCCAUUCGGUUUCCGGUGUCCGCAUUGGAGCCCCAAUUAAUCCGGAUCACGCAUUGCAGGAUUCAUAAGGUGGCAACGCUCCCAACAGAGUAGCCACCCCCGAGUGCCUAUGUAUAACAUCUUUUUUAUUUUGUUUCUCAUCCGGUGUCCAAUGUCCGCAUUGGAGCCUCGACUAAUCCGAAUCGCACGUUGCAGGGUCCAUUAAGGUGGCAGCGCUCCUAAUAGAGUUUUCUCUAUAUCCAAAGUCAAACCCUCGACCUCUAGUUAAGGAUGUAGCAGUCUUAUCCACCGCACCUCAACUCACGUUGGUGGCUAUGUAUAAUGUCAUUACAUGUUCAUUAUAGUAUUUGUCACUUUGUGUAACAAACAAAUGAAUUAAAUAAAGUGAUCUCUAAUUGAGAGGUGAAUAUACAACCUUAUCGAUUGAUUGGUGGUUGUGUUUUGGCUUAGUGGGCACACAUUUAUGGGUCCCUUUUAUAGAUCUGUCCAUUUUAUAAUUUUCAACUUAUUGAUUUAUUAUAAUAUGGCCAUAACUUUUUACACCUAAUAAAUAUAUAAACCAGGGGUUAGAGUUUGUAACUCAAAUUCUGUUGAUUCGAUCUUAAAUAAAAAGUUUGUGGUUGAUUUAUGUUUGUAAUUUUUUAUACGCAUGUAUUAUAUAAGUGCAAUUUAGUGAGUUGUUUUGGGCGAUUUUGUAUACGUCAUUGAGACUUUCUUCUGCUCAUUGUACCCUCUCGUCCAUUAUAGUGAAUUCCUCCGCAUCUAUCCGUAGUUUUUCAUCCCGUCAAGAAUUUUCACGUAAAUCUGUAUGUCUUCUUCUUGCAUUCUUUUACUUUUUAGUAUUGCUUAUUCUGUCCGAACAUAACAAGGGGUACCCGAAAGAAUUUAUUGAUCAUAUAUAGGGAGAUAUUUUCAUUUCUUUCUUUUUGAUUUCGUUUAUGACAUCCAUCCCGUUUCGUGUUUCAUUAUGGCCUUGGUGUAUUAUUCUCUAUCUUGAGUCGUGGGUCUAUCAGAAACAACCUCUCUAUUUCUGCGGAGGUAGCGGUAUGAACUGCGUACAUCUUACCCUUCCCAGACCUCACUUUGUGGGAAUACACUGAGACUGUUGUUGUUGUUGUUGUUGUUAGGGUACACCUAUUUAUGUCGUGUUUGGUGAUAACGUCUGCAACUUGAUUUUCUUCUCUAUAGUCUGUAUCAGUAUUGGAUCACAUAAUAUUAUUAGAAUUCGUAGUAAGCAUUUCGAUAUCCUUAUUGUCGUUGUCAUUCUUUAUUGUCUUUUGUACCUUUAUUACAUUUUCUUAGACUGUAUUUUUUCUUAAGUCAAGAAUUUAUCGAAAAUAGCUCUUUACCUCACCUCUAAGGUAUGGUAUGGACUGUCUAUAUAUAUACUUUACCCUUUUCAGACCUCACUAUGUGAAAAUACACAAUAAUCGUGUCUUACAGAUCAUGUCUAAUUUUCAUUACAUUUUCAAAUUCUAUGUCCAAUCAAACACGUAUACACAUAGAAUUAAAAGAAAGGCAAACAACAUAAAUUUCGAUAAUUUGGAGUUAAUUACGAAAAAAUUUGAAAUUGUGUAUAAUUACUUCAAUUUUGGAUCUGUCAAGAUAUAUAAUUAGCUCGGAAUACAUCCAAUAAAGGUGCAUAAUUAGCUCCCAAUAUAUUUUUUUUCGAUCUUCAAUUUGUUGAGAUAGAGAAUUAGCUCUCGAUACAUCCAACAAAGAUACAUAAUUAAUUGAUAUCUUUAUAAUUACUUUCUGACGAUAAAGAUUUAGAUAAAUAUGAUAAGUUAAACUCUAUGUUUAUGUUAUUUUUCAUUAAAAAAAAUAAUAGUAACUAUUUUUCAAAACUAACUAUCAAAAAAGUGAUGGUGAACUUUUUUUUUUUCUUUCUUUCUUUUUUGUAAAAAAUAUAAUUUUAAUUUUUUUUUUAUUUAAAUAAAUGAAUAUAAGGUUGUUCACAUGGAAGCAUGUGAGGGGGACCCACCAAUCGGGAAAAAUGACAUUUACCCCCCGAUAUUUCCGGAUUAAGGUUUCUUUGUCUCUCUUUUGUACCCCGACACUUUUAUUGCCUGCCAUUAUAAACCCCCACUAUCUUCCAAUAAGCCAAAUUUAACCCCCAUAUUUUAUUAUUAUUUUUUUGUGCUUUUUUUUUUAAAAAAAAAAAUAUAUAUAUAAUACAAUUCAUUACAUAUUUGUGUGUUUCUCUAAUAUUAUAUCCACAAUAUGUAAAUACAUAUAAGAUUUCAAGUUUUGUGUACAAAAUAUUUUAUAUUAGCAGGUAAAUUUAAUCUGUUAUUGCACGUUAUUCAAUUUUUUUUACAUAAAAAUCGAAAAAGAAAUAUUUGAAUAACCUGAAGUAGCAGAUCAAAUUUACCUGAUAGUGGAGAAUACUUUGUACACUGAUAAUGCACAAAACUUAAAUUCAUACAUAUAUACACUAUAAAAUAGUAGUAAGAAUUAACUAAAAUUUGGUGUCAAUUUUUAAAAAUUUCGUUGUUAAAUAAGAUUAGCAUAUGAGUUUUGUAGUUUUGUUUUUAAGAAAAACAAAUGAUGUUCGGAUCAGCUUUUGCGCACCUAGACUAAUUAACUCUACGGGAUAUAUAUCGCCUCCCACCAGCAAUAAAUAUCAAGUAAUUCCGUCCAUCAAAGCCAGGACAGAUGAGAGAAAAUCACCUAGUGAUUUUUUACAAAGUCAUUGAUCUUGUUUUGUUUUGUAAGUGAUGAUGUGUGUGUAUAAAUGUAUAAUUUUAUUUUUUUUUGGAUUUAAAAUAUAAUUUUAUUAAAUUUUAGUGACCUUUACGCGCGCAUGUGUACAAGUCACUAAAAUUUAAUAUUAGACGAAAAUAAAGGAUUGUGCACAAAGCAUUUUUCGUUAACAGAAUUUGAAAAAUGAUCGCAUUCGAAAAUAUGUGAAGUAAACAGUCUACUCUAAUAUUCUCAUAGUGAAGAUUAAGAGAUAUUAUUAUUAUGUAUGUAUAAGAUUUAGACUACAAGAUCUAUGGAAGUUAGUGGGUAUUUUUGUAAAGUUAGCUGUCAAUUAGUGUAUUAUUAGAGUCUUCUUUUUCAUAUUAUAAAGAUUAUUAUAAAUGCUUGGUUGUUUUGUUUGGUAUUUUUUAAACAAAGAAUAUUCCUCACAAAAAAAAUAUUCUCUAUUUUAAUCUAUUUCAUUAUUAAAAUCUUAAGAAAAUUCUAGGAUGUUGCUGCUACAUUUUUUUUCUAUAAUAUAGAAGCAUCGGUUUCGACAUGCUUGUCUUGUUUCAAUCGCGAUUUUAUUAUAUCAGUCAUAAUUAAUUUUAUAAGUCAUUUAUAUAUAAAAAGUUAAUAAUAUUUAAUUUAUAAACGAAAAAUAGACAUUUAUGACAUGCCUACUUCAGCUAGGGGUGUGCAUCGGUCGGUUCGGUUCGGUUUUAUAUAUUACCAGUUUGGUUUAUUGAUUUUCGGUUUUUAAAUAUGCAAAACCAAUAACCAAAUCAAUAAGAUAUUUUUUAUCGGUUUUUAGUUCUUAACGGUUCGAUUUUCGGUUUAACCGAUAGAAAUAGAAGUAACUAACAUGAAAAAUAAUCGAAUCUUAGUUGCAAAUAAAAAUCUUACAUAAUGUGUUUUAAUUUACAAGAAUCUUCAAGUUUGAACUAAAUGUUGUUGGAAGAAAUUAAGAGUUUGUAUAAUUGAAAUAAUAGAUUUGUUAAUUUGUAGAGAUUAAAGAGAAAUAUCUAAUAAUUCAUAUAUAUAUAUAUAUAUAUUCUUAUUGGGUUAUCAAUUUACCCAAUAACCCAAUAAGAAAAAAUUGAACCGAACCAAUAACCCAAUAAUUUUUUUAUAAAAUCAUUAAAAAAUCAUUAACCCAAUAACCCAAUAACAAUAAACCAAUAACAUUUUUAUUGGUUCGGUUUAUCGGCCGGUUCGGUUUUUGCACAGCCCUAGUUUCAGCUAAAAAGUGCAAUCCGGUGCACUAAAGCUACCGCUAUGUGCGGUGUCUGGGGAAAGCCCCCACCACAAGGGUGUAUCGUACGCAGUCUUACCUUGCAUUUCUGCUUCAGCUGCUUCAACAUAAUUUUACUAAAUACCGCCGUUGAUACAGAGUUGCGUCAGUUGUAAAAGUAUUUUUCUUUAUGCUGAGUGUGAACUUUCGAUUUCAGAUUUCUCUUAAAUUACUAGACAGAGAGUGUUUAACGAUUUUUUUUUUACUUAAAAUGAAAAUAAAUACUCGCAACACGAGCCAAACUAUAUCUUAAUUUAGUAUAUCAAUUUGCUUUGUAUCUUUCGAAUUUAUUUGCUCCGUAUAAGAGCGAAUAGAUACAACUCCAAGCGAACAGAUAUAGAGUGAACGAAUAAAACUCGAACUCUCGUUUCGAAUAAACUCAGGUAAUUUUUCGUUAGUUUUAUAAUUGUAGGGCUAGGUCGGGCCGAGCUCAGAAAGCUCAACUCUAAUCGAGUCGAGGGAGUAAUAUUUUGUACAUAUUGAAUAGAUUUUUAAGACAAAUAUAAAGUUUGAAUCAAAGUUAAUAGAUUUGAUGGAAUUCGUAUCUCGAAAAUAAAUGUAAAAAUUCGAUGUAAAGUUUUUAUAAAUCGGUGUACAUGUAGUAUAAGAAGUGGAGCCAAAAUUGAAAUUUCGAGAUUCGAGAUUCUAGUCUUUUUAAGUUGUUGCGUUCUCUAUUAAUAUUUUGUAUGUACUGAUUAAAUUUCUUUAAACAAAUACGCCCGCCCGUCUCAUAUUAGUUGGCAUAUUCGUCCUUUGCACAAACAACUCUUAAGGAGAAUUAAUAAGAGAUGCAAAUUGACUAAUAUGACCUUACUAAACUCACAUUAAAUAUCGUUGUUAUCUAUUGACGUUAAUUACUCUUCCAUUAAAUUACUAGGAGUAAAGUUGGAAAAAUAUGUCCAACUCUCUCUCGAUUCUUUAAACAUGCCAACAUGCCAAGUAAUAUAAAACAAUCCAGUACACCCUUGAAUUAUGACCAAAGUUGCUACGACAUAUUUCAACUUUACAGGGGUCCAAUUACCCCCCUGGUGUCAAUUUUAACGUAUUUUUGUCACGCUUUUGUGCUGACAUGACACCUCUAUUACAUAAAAGUAGGGUCUCCAUCAAAGGUGCCACGUCAGCUAAAAAAGUACCACACUAGCUAAAAAGAUUGAUAAAAAUACGUUAAAAUUUAGUUCAGGAGGUACAAGGACCCCGUGAAGUUAGAGUGUGUCGUAACAAAUUCGGACAUAAAUCAAAGAGGUACGAAAUACUUUACUCUUUAAAUUAAAAUUACUAAAUUGGAUCGAACCCGUAUCUCGAAGGCUUUAACUCCUAGGAAACAUAUGCAUGGGAAUUAAUGUGUACUACUUUGUCACCUCAUAUGACUAAUGUUUCUAUGGAAGUUCUCACUAAACAUACAUUAAUCCAACAUGAUUAAAAUUGCAGUCUGUCUAUUUGAGUUUACCCAUGACUUUGUCUUCUUUUUUUUAAUUUUUUUUUUUUUUUUUUUUAUGUAUAUGUAGUUUUUUUGCUGGUAGUGUUCUGAUAAUGUUUGUGAUUUUGAAUAAAUAGUUUAUAUUAUUAUUUUGUUGGUGUCUUGUUUCUUUUAUUAUCUAGUGAUAUGUUAUCUCAUUUUUUUUCGUGUUUUUGUAGUUUCUGGUUCGUAGUGCUCUGAUGAUGUUUGUGAUUUCGAAUAAAUAGUUUAUAGUAUUAUUCUCUCGGUGUUUUGUUUCUUUUACCAUCUAGUGGUGUGUUAUCUUAUUUUUUUCAUGUGUCAGUAGUUUUUUAUUUGUAGAGUUCUAAUGAUGUUUGUGAUUUUGAAUAAAUAAUUUAUAUUAUUAUUUUGUCGGUGUCUUGUUUCUUUUAUUAUCUAGUAGUAUGUUAUCUCAUUUUUUUUCACGUGUCUGUAGUUUCUUGUUCGUAGUGUUCUGAGAAUAUUUGUGAUUUUGAAUAAAUAAUUUAUAGUAUUACUCUCUCGGUGUCUUGUUUCUUUUAUUGUCUAGCGUUGUAUUAUCCAAUUUUUUCAUGUGUUUGUAGUUUCGUUUCUUGUCCGUAGUGUUCUGAUGAUGUGUGUGAUCUCGAAUAAAUAAUUUAUAAUAUUAUUCUGUUAGUGUCUUGUUUCUUUUAUUAUCUACCAGUGUAUUAUUAUUUCAUUUUUUUUUCAUGUGUCUGUAGUUUCUUGUUCCUAGUGUUUUGAUGAUGUUUGAGAUCUCGAAUAAAUAGUUUAUAGUAUUACUCUAUCACUGUCUUGUUUCUUUUAUUAUCUAGCGGUGUGUUAUCUCAUUUUUUCAUGUGUUUGUAGUUUCUUGUUCGUAGUGUUCUGAUGAUGAUUGUGAUCUCGAAUAAAUUGUUUAUAGUAUUAUUCUCUCGGUGUCUUGUUUCUUUUUUUGUAUGUCUAGCGUUGUGUUAUCUUAUUUUGUUGUUUAUUUUUAUGUUUUUUACUUGUUAUAUUGUUACCUGUCCUGAACCGGAGGUCUAUCGAAAACAACGAACCUCUCUACUUCAUAUGAGGUAGUGGUAUGGACUGCGUACAUUUUACCUUCUCUAGACCCCAAUUUAUGAGAAUACACGAGAUAUGUUAUUGUUGUUGUUGUUUUUCAUGUGUCCGAUAUUUGUUUUGAAUACGAUUAAUUUAAUUAGAUUCAUGUUGGAAAGUCCCACUUUAAUAAGGAGUAAAACGUUCUAUACCAAUAACGAUUUCAUACCUAUGACUUGAACUCGAAAUCUCGAAUUUUUUUUUUAUUAUAUAUUAACGUUCCACAUUUAUAGUUUUCGUGAUAAUGAUUAAAUUGUCGAAAUAUUUGAAGUUAGUAUUUAGAAUUAUUACAAGGUAGUAGGUUUGCUUAUCAAUAAGUUCAAUUCAAUUUUGAAUAUUAUUUAUAAACAUUCUAAAUAGAUAAUUAAAUUAUUAAGUUAUUGGUUAUCGAUUAACAAUCGUUAAUGAUUCGAUUAUCUAUUCAACCUAUAAGUAUAAUGGAAGCUUAUAUUUUCCAAGCACCUACAAAUGCAAAAUUAUGUUUUUCGUUAAACCAAUAAUUCGAUUUCAAUAAAUCAAUAUAAUUGUGGGUUGACUUUAACUAGGUUGUCUAUAUAUAUAUAUAUAUAUAUAUAUAAAAUAUUCGAUAUAUAUAAACUAUGAUUUUUCGACAAACAAUGUUUAAUUGACCAUCUUUUUGUCUAUGGUCAUUAGUUAAAUUCGAUUAAAAGUAGCAAGUUUUCUCAUCCGGUAUUUCAUAUAUGUGCUGAGACCCAAUUAAAUUCAAAUUGUAUGCAUUGUGGGGCUCAUUAACUCGAAUCUAAGAUCUCUAACUAAAGAUGGAGAGAUCCCGAUCAUUCCAUCGUAAUCCAUAUUGAUAAAAUUAUUGAUUAGAGUUCAUUGUAACUUAUGUCUAAUUUCAUAAUUGCUACAAAAAUUAUUAGCAAUGUACAUUAUGUAUUGUAAAAGGACUUUAAUUAUUUGUAUAGUUGGUGAAAAGUAGGAAUAAGUAGUACUAAAUAUAUGUCAAAAAUUAACCAAUCAAGUCCAUUCAGCUAAUGAUUGGUAGGAUUUAUUUCCAUAGUAAUUGGUGGGAUUUUUAACCAUAAUAAUUGGUGAGAUUUUUUUACCAUAAUAAUUGGUGAGAAUUUAAUAUAGAAGAUCUUGUAACAAUAACAAUAGUAAAUUCCGUGUAAUCUCAUAAGUAGAAUCUAGGAAGAAUAAACAUACACGAAUCUUAUAAUUACCUUUGAAAAGGUAAAGAGAUUGUUUUCGAACGAGUCUAAACUGAACAACCGUGAAACAGAAAAUCCUAUAAAAUAAGUAAAAAUGAGAAUAGAAGAGUAUAUAGAUUAGGACAACGGUGGAGCCAGAAUUUUCAAUAAUUUGAUUCACAAGUGAAUAUGCGAACUAACCGAAGGGGGUUCGAUAUCUACUAUAUAUAUAAAAAAUAAUUUUAAUUAUAUAUAUAUAGUAUAAUUUCCGUCGAAGGGAGUUCGAAUGAAUCGAAUCCCCUUUCCCAGGUGUAGCUUCGCCCGUAAAUUAGGAUAAUUCAAAAUUCGUUUCGAUACUUGUGGAACUAGAGUUUUAGCUAUAGAUUCGUUAAAACUGGUACUCCACACACAAAAAAAAUCCUUUGGGCUAUCAAUAUGGGUUGUGUUGCAGUGGAUGGGGCUGCUCUACCCUUAACCAGAGGUCGAGAGUUCGACCAUGGGUAUGGAGAAAACUCUGUUGGGAGCGUUGCCACCUUAAUGGGCCCUGCAACGCAUGAUCAGAAUUAGUCGGGGCUCCAAUGCGAACACCAAACACCGAAUGAAAAACCAAAAAAAAUAAAUAAUAACAAUUAAAAAAAAAUCCUUUGUAGUGGGCUAUAUGGUCCAUUAUAAGUCACCCAUCAGGCCAACUUGACCAAAAAGGUACAAAUAUAGUUGUGUACAAAUUUAACCCAAAAAGAUAACACACACACUAACACACCUUCAUUUUACACACAUUGAUUAAAAAGCCAACAAUUAAUGGACCUUAAUAAAAGUCCAAUUACUCUUUUCGGGUUUCAAAGCCCAAUUUCCCUUUCUCUCUCUCUCUCUCUCUCUCUCUCUCCUCUUUCUCUCUCCUCCUUCUACGGCCCAAACCCUAGAUCUGUCGCCGGAAUUACUCAUCGGAUUCCAAGUUCCCUUCUGGAUUUCCCUCUAAAUCUAAUUUCACAACUUGGGUGUCCCUCAAAAUUCAAUUUUGGUACUUGGAUUCUGCUCAAAAUUCAAAAUUUGUAUACAGGUAAAUUAACCCCCUUUUUUUUUACAAAAUUCGGAUUUAAUUUAUUUAUUUUUAAUUUUUUUUAGUUAAUUAUUGUGUUAUUGUGAAAAUUGUUGUGCUGAAUUACUGAAAUGAUUAUAUUUUUGUGCUAAAUAACUGUACAGCAUGAUCAAAGUAAGCUGUGUUUUUAGAUUUGUGUGUAAUUUUUUUUUUAGAUGUUUAGUUAUUUAUUGUGGUGUUGUGAAAAUUGUUCUGCUGAAGUACUGAAAUGAUUAUAAUUGUGUGUAAAUAUGUGCUAAUUUACUGUACAUAAUGAUCAAAAUAAGCUGCUUUUAAAGCUGUGUAGAAGCUUUAGUGCACGGGGCUGCCCUUUUUAUCUGUUUUGAGCUUCUUUCAGAAAUGCAGGUAACACUGUGUAUAAUAAACCCUUUUGGUUCGGUCUUUCCUUGGAUCUUGUGCAGAAGCUUUAGGGCACGGGGCGCUUCUUUUAUCUGUUUUGAGCUAUUUGAAGCUUAUGUGGCUUAAUUCAAUUUUCUUUUGAUAUGUUUAUAAAAAAAGUUGUGAUUUUUUUAAAUCUUUUUCUUGACGUUCUGUGCGUGAAGUUUGCAGGUUUUAAUGAUUCUUGAAAAUUUUGGUUGACAGUGUAAUAGAUUCAAUUGUUGUUAGUAAAAAGAGGAUUUUUGAUCUGGGCUUUGUUGAUGUUUCUAACUUGUUUAGCUCAUGUUUUGUGAAAUGUCCAUUUUAGCCCUGAGGGUCUUUGAAAUAGAGUGUACUAUACUCUCCUUGUUUCCUUAGAAGGACCAUUAUUAUUAUUUAACUUUGGAUCAGUUGUGAAUUCGGGAUGGUAGAGGUAACACCGGGCCAGGCCGGUGUGUGCCCAUUGUUCAGCUUUGAGGAACUAAUUUCUUGUAUUUUGUUGGCUAAAUCUUCGGCCUCCUGUUUUAUUGGUCCAAAGAGUGAGUACUAAGGAGUCGUUUGUCCAUAGAUUUUGUUUCAAAUAUUUGAAAUAAUAUAUGGAGAUUUUGUUUCAAAUUAUUGGCUCAUUAUUUCAACUUCAAGCUUGAAAUAUGGAACUUGAAGUUUGUAAAACUUGUUUAACUCCAAAACUUCUGUGUUUUCAUGUCUAAAUACAACUUAACUUCCAAAUACCACUUUGUCGACUUAACGUCAAUUUUUUUUUCAAAUAUCAACGAAUUCAUGCCCAAAUGCAUACUAAGUAUGCUUGAAGCAAUGGAUUUGCAGCCAGGCUGCAACGUCAUGCCACAUUCUUUAGGUGCUGGGUUCAAUGCCUACUGAUGGCCAUAGGCUGUAACUCCAUACUCAAUCUGUAUGAUGUAAAGAACAAAUCCAUUAUACGGCUCUCCCUUCACCUGGAAAAAGUUUAAAAGACAGUUUAUAUAUAUAUACUUUGCAGCUUUAACCACCUCUUGUUCUGCUUCAAAGUAGCGAUGGGGCUACAUGAACAUUGCUUGUGGAUGUAAGUCCUUCGAAGGAUGCAAACCCUUAGAAGAAUUGGAUAAUGCAAUCAGCUGAGCUGUAGCUAUUUCUUUCUUUAUAAAGAGGUUGGACCGAUAUCAGCAGAGUGUUUUCUCUAAGAUAGACCGAGGAGUGUGUUUAGACUUAUUGAAGAUAGGAUAAAUUGAGCUGUUAAGGAUAUCAAAAAAGGCAAUAGUUUACAGCGGGAAAACAGAAAGAGGAUUAGUUUCAUAGGAGUUAUCGCAAAAAAAUGUAUGUACACACAGUGCUACUUUCAGGCAUGUGUUUUAUAGAUUCACAAAUCUUUUCUUCAGUUUAACAUACAUGUGAUUUACUUUGUUUUUUUUUUCAUUAUAAAUUAUAGAUUAUUGAUAAGUGUUUUAGCUUCCCACAGUCUUGAGCUCUUCUGGACCUUGAUGGCGACCCCAGAAACCCCAGCUUCUCCAGCAACUCCCACUGAGAAUCAUGAGAUAGUGCCGAAAGAUGAGGGUAUACAUGAGCAGAGUCAUGAGAUGGUGCCAGAAAAUGAGAAGUUACAUGAGCACAGUCAUGAAAAGGUGCCGGAAAGUGAGAUCAUACAUGAGCACAGUCAUGAGAUGGUGCCGGAAAAUGAGAAGAUACAUGAACGCAGUCAUGAGAAGGUGCCGGAAAAUGAGAUGAUACAUGAGCAGAGUCAUGAGAUGGUGCCAGAAAAUGAGAAGAUACAUGAGCGGAGUCAUGAGAAGGUGCCGGAAAAUGAGAUCAUACAUGAGCACAGUUGUGAGAAGGUGCUGGAAAAUGAGAACAUACAUGAGCACAGUCAUGAGAUGGUGCCGGAAAAUGAGAUCAUACAUGAGCAGAGUCAUGAGAAGGUGCCGGAAAAUGAGAAGAUGCAUAAGUGCAGUCAUGAGAAGGUGCCGGAAAAUGAGAUCAUACAUGGUUACAGUCAUGAGAUGGUGCCAGAAAAUGAGAAGAUACAUGAGCGGAGUCGUGAGAAGGUGCCGGAAAAUGAGAUGAUACAUGAGCAGAGUCAUGAGAUGGUGCCAGAAAAUGAGAAGAUACAUGAGCGGAGUCGUGAGAAGGUGCCGGAAAAUGAGAUCAUUCAUGAGCACAGUCGUGAGAAGGUGCCGGAAAAUGAGAACAUACAUGAGCACAGUCAUGAGAUGGUGCCGGAAAAUGAGAUCAUACAUGAGCAGAGUCAUGAGAAGGUGCCAGAAAAUGAGAAGAUACAUAAGCGCAGUCAUGAGAAGGUGCCGGAAAAUGAGAUAAUGCAUGAGCAGAGUCAUGAGAUGGUGCCAGAAAAUGAGAAGAUACAUGAGCACAGUCAUGAGAAGGUGCCGGAAAAUGAGAUCAUACAUGAGCAGAGUCAUGAGAUGGUGCUGGAAAAUGAGAAGAUACAUGAGUGCAGUCAUGAGAAGGUGCCGGAAAAUGAGAUCAUACAUGAGCAGAGUCAUGAGAUGGUGCCGGAAAAUGAGAUGAUACAUGAGCAGAGUCAUGAGAAGGUGCCGGAAAAUGAGAUCAUGCAUGAGCAGAGUCAUGAGAAGGUGCUGGAAAAUGAGAUCAUACAUAAACACAGUCAUGAGAUGGUGCUGGAAAAUGAAAUGAGGCAUGAACACAGUCAUGAGAUGGUGCCGGAACAUGAGAUGACGCAUGAACACAGUCAUGAGAUGGUGCCGGAACAUGAGAUGACGCAUGAACACAGUCAUGAGAUGGUGCCGGAAAAUGAGAUGAUGCAUGAACAUAAUCAUGAGAUGGUGCGGGAAAAUGAGAUGAUGCAUGGACAUAAUCAUGAGAUGGUGCCGGAAAAUGAAAUGAUGCAUGAACAUCAUAUGGUGUUUGGAAAUGAAAUAGUUCCCAGCAAUGAGAUGGUCCCGGACGAUGAGAUGAUCCCACUAAACGAGAUGGUACUUGCAGAGCCAGAACCCAACUAUAUAGAAACACCUCCAAACAACCCAGAAACACAACCCAGCAAGCGUAGGAAGAAGAAGUCAAUAGUUUGGGAACACUUCACCAUUGAAAAUAUUGGCAAUGGAACCAGAAGGGCACAAUGUAAGCAGUGCAAGCAAUCAUUUGCAUAUAGUACAGGUUCAAAAGUAGCCGGCACUAGUCACCUGAAACGGCAUAUUGCCAAAGGAACCUGUCCAGUUGUCCUGCGUAACCAACAGAAUAAUCAAUUGACCCCUUAUAGUACACCUCCUAAGAUGAGUGGAUAUGGUGGUAGUACUGAUGCACCAAAACGACGUUAUCGGACUGCUUCUGCUCCUUACCUUGCUUUUGAUCCUGACCGGUGCCGUCAGGAGAUCUCUAGGAUGAUCAUCAUGCACGACUAUCCCCUUCACAUGGUUGAGCAUCCAGGCUUUCUUUCUUUUGUCCGGAAUCUUCAACCUCGUUUUGAUAUGUUGAGCUUCAACACCGUGCAAGGAGAUUGUGUGGCAACUUAUCUUAGAGAGAAGCAAGCCAUUCAGAAGGUGAUUGAGGGAGUGCCUGGGCGAAUCUGCUUGACGCUAGAUAUGUGGUCCUCCUGCUACAAUGUGGGCUACAUGUUCAUAACUGGGCAGUAUAUUGACAGUGAGUGGAAAAUUCACAGGAAAAUACUCAAUAUCAUCAUGGAACCAUAUCCAGAUUCUGACACGGCUUUCAGCCAUGCUGUUGCGGCUUGCCUUUCUGACUGGAGUAUGGAAGGGAAGUUAUUUUCGGUCACUAUUAAUCAACCAUUGGGUGAUGCUGCUGUUGAUAAUCUUAGAGCUUUAUUAUCUGUGCAGAACCCUCUUGUGCUCAAUGGUCAGUUGUUGGUUGGAAGUUGUCUUGCUCGAACUUUAAGCAGCAUCGCCCAAGGUGCAUUUGUGUUUUUGCAUGGUACUGUUAAGAAAGUAAGAGACAGCGUUAAGUAUGUGAAAACAUCGGAAUCUCAUGAAGAAAAGUUUCUUGACCUCAAACAGCAGCUUCAGGUGCCAAGCACAAAGACUCUGUCGCUUGAUGACCAAACUCAAUGGAACACGACAUAUGAGAUGUUGUUAGCUGCAUCAGAAUUAAAGGAAGUAUUUUCGUGCUUGGAUACAUCUGAUCCUGAUUACAAGGAUGCCCCAUCGAUGGAAGAUUGGAAGCAAGUCGAGGUUCUGUGUAAUUACUUGAAAACCGUUUUUGACACCGCCAAUCUUCUGACUGCACCUACAGUUCCAACAACCAACACAUUCUUCCAUGAAGCAUGGAAGAUUCAAUUGGAGCUGGUUCGUGCUGCAGGAAGUGAAGAUCCAUUCAUCAGCAGUCUUACCAAAACAAUGCAAGAGGAGUUUGAUAAAUACUGGAAAAAUUGUUGUCUAAUAUUAGCUAUUGCCGUAGUAAUGGAUCCACGCUUCAAAGUGAAACUCGUCGAAUUCAGUUUUACGAAAAUAUAUGGUGAAGAAGCUGGCACCUAUGUGAACAUCGUUGAAGAGGGAAUCCAUGAGCUUUUCCGUGAAUACGUGGCACUUCCUCUGCCUUUAACCCCAGCUUAUGCUGAAGAGGUAAAUGAUGGGGCUUUGAAGCAGGAGAACGGUGGCGCUGGACUUACAGAUUUUGACGCCUACAUUAUGGAGACAACAAGCCAGCAGUCAAGGUCAGAACUUGAUCAAUAUUUGGAUGAGUCCUUGUUGCCUCGUGUUCACGAGUUUGAUGUUGUGGGAUGGUGGAAACUGAACAGAAUAAAGUACCCAACUCUCUCAAUAAUGGCUCGUGACAUCUUGUCCGUUCCAGUUUCUACUGUUACAUCCGACUCUGUAUUUAGCACGGCAGGCAAAGAGAUGGAUCGCUACAGAUGUUCAUUGCGACCCGAGACCGUGGAGGCCCUCAUCUGUGCCAAGGAUUGGCUUCAAAAUGCAUCGGUAAACACUUUACAUGCACCGAUAAAAAUGGAAGUCCCUAUUUAGGCCUCUUUUUCUGUUCAGUGAUAGCCUUUUGUAGCUGAUAUCUGUUUUCUUUUAGAUUGUUUUAACAUUUAUAUCUCCUUUGUUGUGUCGUCGGAGAAUCAACUGUCUUGUAUCAUAAUUUGGUACCGCUAGAGGCUUACCGGAGAGUUUAGUCGUGAUUUUCGCGCUUUUCUCAGUUGAUGUCAGUUUUAAUCGUGUAUGAUAUGAAUAUAUGUUGAAUAUUACUUGUGUUGCUUAUCUAUGAGUUAUAUGCAAAGCAAAAAUGCAUUAUAUUAUAAAGUUGAUUUUCUUAUUUAUUUACAUUUCUCAAUUCCACCAAAGAAGGGAAUCGUUGGAGUAACUGGUAAAGUUGCUGCCAUGUGACCAGAAGGUCACGAGUUCAAACCUUGAAAACAGCCUCUGACAGAAAUGUAAGGUAAGGGUGCGUACAAUAUACCUUUGUGGUGGGGCCCUUCCUCGGACCCUGUGCAUAGCAGGAGCUUUAGUGCACCGGAUUGCCCUUUUUCUCAAUUCCGCCAAAGAAAGGUGUAAGAUUUGCGUUCAUCUUACCCUACCUAAAUUCCAAUUAUGGUAUUACAUUGCAUAUGAUGUAUUUCCAUUUCUUUAAUUGUCACCUACGAAAGUGUAACAAACAUACGACUUUCAUCGAAUACAACUUUCAGCGGAAUUUUAUAUGUAUCUAUGAGAUCGAGUAUGGAAUUCUGUUUACUCACUUUAAAUUCAGUAUCCGUUUCCCUCCCUUUCGUGCUAGGAUUGGAAAUCUUGUAUUUUACAUAUCCAUACGAUUGAGUCCUUGGGUUUUCUAAAUAGUGUAAAAAGAAGUGCUCCAAAUCAUUGCUGUUUGACUUGGAUCUGUUCUAAAAAAAUUGAGGUAUUUCGAAUUGUUUGUUGACACGGACAAACAUACGACUUUCAUUGCAUACGACUUUUCACAAAAUUCUAUAUGUAUCUAUGAGAUCGAGCAUGGAACUCUGUUUACUCACUUUAAAUUGAGUAUUCAUUUUCCUUCCUUUCCUGCUAGGAUUGGAAAUCCUGUAUUUUACAUAUCCAUACGAUUGAGUUCUUGAGUUUUUGAAAUAGUAUAAAAAGAAGUGCUUUGAAUCAUUGGCAUUUGACUCGGACCUAUUGUAAAAAAGUCUAGGUAUUUCGAAUUGUUUGUUGACACGAACAAAGUCGGGAAAAACCUCUGAAAUAACAGUUGUGUAAAGUGUUAACACUUUUGCAAUAACGACUAUGCUUUAGUCCCGAACAUGUUGUAGUUCGCGCCAUAUGAAUUUUUACUUCGCCAUAUUAUUUUUUUUUCUGUUCAUGUCGUUCCAUUUAAGCUCAUUGGGACAACAAUUGUGAGAAUUUGAUGAUCUAUAAAUCGUUCCUAACGAGCGAUCGGCUCAUGUUUGAGCAUGAUGAACCACUUUAUGCCGAUCUGUUGCCAAUCCACUUUCCGGCUUCAUAUGUGAACGGAAAACUAGAGCAUUUUAUCCAUCGGUGGAUGAAGAAUCGCAAACAUAAUAAUUUCUGGUUGAUCAUGUUCCCAGAAAAAAAAUACUUUCGUGAAAAGACGAGCACGACUAAAGUGGCUAUAUGAAACAAUGAAAAAGUUGUCAUGUAACCUAUAGUUGAAAAUUCGAGUGAUGGAAUCAAAAUCUCUUCGAUUAUCAGAAAUAAAAAAAGUAAAUAUAAUUUUCUAUACUUAUAUACAACUACAAAGUACCAAACAUUAUAAUUGGAUUAGAUUAAUAUCGAUGGAUCCUUUAUAUGCAUCGAAUGAUAAAUAACUACAAGCGAUGGAGACCAACAAUCCAAAAAACGAAAAAUAAAAAACUUGAAAAUAGUAUCGAGAAUGACUGAAAAGAUAGAAACAAGACCAAAUAUAAUUUAAUUAUUAUGAGCAGUUUUUUUGCCUGGACUCCAAAACGACGGUCAAUCGAAAGAUCCUGUGUUAUAUCAUUAGAUCUCGAUUUUUCAUAUAUAAAUGUAAUUAAUGUAUCUCAUUCGUAAAGGGUUUCCCCCAUAAUGGCCAUGAAUGAUUGCUCCGGAGUUGCCCAAAGAAGGCUUAGCUGAUCAUAUCACUAUCGAGUCAACUUGAACAAGUAUAACUUGACCCGAUUUCAGGGUCGGUCUUGAAAUUUGGUGCUUUUUUAUCUCCAGUUGCUACGAGGAAAAAAUGACGAAAUUUUUUAAGUUUUUCUCUCUUUAUGCUGAAAAAUUAUUAUUCUAGUCAAUAUAUUUUAUUGUUUAGGGGGAAUUACGCUUACUUGUUUUUUAGUACAAGUAGCUACUGAGUUUGCUAUGACUUUUUACGAUCGUCCGACUGUUACUGAGGCUUUUGCUUCUGUUCAAUACAUAAUGACUGAAGCCAACUUUGGUUGAUUAAUCCGAUCAGUUCAUCGAUGAUCGGCAAGUAUGACGAUCCUAAUGAUAACCUUGUAUGUAUUUCGUGUAUAUCUCACCGGCGAAUUUAAAAAACCUCGCGAAGAGUGGAUGAGAUACUUUGGUCCCCCUCUCCCGGUACGGUGGAGGUGCCGUAGCAUGUCAUGAGCACCUGGAUCAAUAACUGAAACUCAGAUAUAAAAUUGAUAAAAUUAAAAUUUUGAAUCCGCCUCUGUAUAUAUAAUCCACAAUGACUUAGCAACAUUGUAUGGACUAGGAUUAUUCUUUUCAAAUUCCAAUCAAUAAUAUGUCCAAAAUAUUAUAUGGUCCUACUUAUCUCUUUUUGACUUUUUUUUUUUUUUCAUUUGAUAUCUUACAUCUAAGUAAUUACCACUUGUUAAUAUUACCAUAUCACCUGUUUUUUUUUUUUUUUUUUUAAAUUUUAAUCGUCUGGUAAUUCAUAUUUAUUUUAAUUAAUUUAAAUUUUCAUUACUUAAAGCUCGAUUACAUGUUUAUGUGAAUCCAAUAUUUUUUGCUCAAAUAGUUUUUAAAAAUCUACUAAUUAUACCUAGUUAUUGUUGCUAGCUCUAAAAUAGAAACCAACAAAUGAUAUCAAUAAACUAUAUUAUAUAAAAUUACACUUAGAAAGAGAAAUAAAGACCAAUGAUGGAUAAAAAUUACUUUCAUUAAUACACUGAAAUAAAUUUCAUUAAUAAAUCACAAUUCAACAAAGCCAAAAGUAAAAACAAUAGCAGAAAUACAUAAAAUACAAUUUGGAGAGAAAAUGAGAAAUUAAUUAAUCAUAAAUUUGACAUCCUUUCAUGUCAAUCCAUGCAAUUCUUCAAAUUUAAUCUGGAAAUCCUGCAAUUUAAUCAGAAUUUAAAUUAAUGAGUUUAACAUAAAGAAAAUAACGAAGUCAGGAUUUUCACUAAAUUGCGUUAAAUUAUGAACAAGAUUAGAAAAAAUAUUCAACAUAUAGUGUAUAUAGAUAAUCUUUUUAAAAACCUAUAGCGGUUGUCAGUUGACAUUCGUUGGACAAAUGUGGCUCCGCCAUUGCACCAAAAGUACUAAUGGUGGGGGUGCAUGCAGAGGCGGAGUCAAUAGGGGUUCGUUUGAAUCAUUUUCGAUGGAAAAUUAUAAUAUUAAUGCAUGAUUAAAAUGAUUUUUAUGUAUAUAUUGUAGAUGUUGAACCCUCUUCGAUGAGUUUUUCUUCUGAUUUUGAACCCCCUCAGCAGAAAUCCUGGCUCCGCCUCUGAGUGCAUGGACGGAAGGAGGUUCAACCAAAGCCUUUCAACGGUAAAUUUCACAAUAUAUAUUAGGUCAAUUUCUUUUACGUACAUAUAGUAGAUGAUAAACGCCAUUUUUCAAAACUAUAUAUUGCACUUAGAUUAGUGUCUGUGGUUCGAGCCCUCGGGAAUGGAGCCACUUUUGAUGAUAGGUGACCUAAUAUGUGGCUCCAUUACUAGUCAGACCUCAAAGCAAGUACCGAACAUAAAAAAAAAAAUAAGUGUCCUAAUAUGUGGCUUCAUUGUUAGUCUGACCUCAAAGCGAGUACGGAACACCAAGUGAAAAAUAAGUGACCUAAUAUGUGGCUCCAUUGUUAGUCUGAUUUCAAAGCGAGUACCGAACACCAAGUGAAAAAUAAGUGACCUAAUAUGUGGCUCCAUUAUUAGUCUGACCUCAAAGCGAGUACCGAACAUCAAAUAAAAAAUAAUUGACUUAAUAUGUGGCUCCAUUACUAGUCUGAUCUCGAAGCGAGUACCGAACACCAAGUGAAAAAUAAGUGACCUAAUAUGUGGUUCCAUUAUUAGUCUGACCUCGAAGCGAGUACCAAACACCAAGUGAAAAAUAAGUGACCUAAUAUGUGGCUCCAUUACUAGUCUGACCUCAAAGCGAGUACCGAACAUCAAAUAAAAAAUAAGUGACCUAUGUGGCUCCAUUACUAGUCUGACCUCAAAGCGAGUACCGAACAUCAAAUAAAAAAUAAGUGACCUAUGUGGCUCCAUUACUAGUCUGAUCUCAAAGCGAGUACCGAACACCAAGUUAAAAAUAAGUGACCUAAUAUGUGGUUCCAUUAUUAGUCUGACCUCAAAUCGAGUAUCGAACACCAAGCGAAAAAUAAGUGACCUAACAUGUGGCUCCAUUACUAGUCUGAUCUCAAAGAGAGUACCGAACACCAAGUGAAAAAUAGGUGACCUAAUAUGUGGCUCCAUUAUUAGUCUGACCUCAAAGUGAGUUCUGAACACCUAGUGAAAAAUAAGUGACCUACUCCAUUACUAGUCUGAUCUCGAAGCGAGUACUCCAUUACUAGUCUGAUCUCGAAGCGAGUACCGAAUUCCGAGUGAAAAAUGAAUAGAAAGUCAUAUUACCUAGAUGGAGCAAGUGUAGCCAGGUGGAGGAGUUUUGCCACAAGUAACAAGUAGUUGAAGAGCAAGAGGAACAUAGAUUUUAAGGUUAAGUAGUUUGAGUUUAAGUGUUGUGCAAAGGCAAGCAGCAGCUUCAAGUUCAGCAAGUCCACUAAUUAUUGGACAACAUUCAUGAACAGCUGGAUCACCAAGACCAAUAUGAACAAGUCCACCAAGAAGAUCCACACAAGCCCCAAGUUUCAAUGUGUCAAUUGGGCAUGUUGCCUUUGUAGUUGGUGGACAUGGUUUUUUCCCUUUAGGUGAUGGGGUAAUUACUGGUGGAACUGUGACAGGUGGAAGCCCAAUAGGUGGCAACUUGAUGGGGGGUUUGACAACUGGUGGUAAAGUGAUAGGCGGUUUUACAACUGGUGGAACUGUGACAGGUGGAAUUCCAAUAGGUGGCAAAUUGAUAGGCGGUUUUACAACCGGUGGUAAAGUAAUAGGCGGUUUUACAACUGGUGGAACUGUGACGGGUGGAAGUCCAAUAGGUGGCAAAUUGAUAGGCGGUUUUACAACUGGUGGAACUGUGACGGGCGGAAUUCCAAUAGGUGGCAAAUUGAUAGGGGGUUUGACAAUGGGAGAGGGAGUUUUGGGCUUCUUGGUCUUGGGCUUGUGAGAAGGUUUACCACAAUAGCCACAACCAAGAAUGGGAGUUAAAGAGGAAAGCAAAAGCAUGCAAAUGAAAAGAAGUGAAGUUAUCUUAGAGAACUCCAUUUUUUUAAGAGGGAAAAGAAAAG